AUCAACCAUCCAGACAAAAGGCGAAAGCAAAGCGAAGACGACGAAAACAUAUCGAAGCAGAUCUUCCAUAAAAUUGAGAUCUCGAAGUUCUACAAAUAUGUACAGACACUGCGAAUUGCUCUAGAGACUGUUGAUAUAAGCCCAACUUAGUGGAUCAAAAUUCCGGAGGAAAACAACUUCAACAACAAGCUACGACUUCCCUCGGUAACCUCGCCGGCAUCAACCGAUCCGGAGACACCGGCAGCCGCGCCGAGAAGUUCCUCAUUGAGAACUCCUCGUCUGACUCUCGGCUCAAAUCGUCAUCGAAGUUUAGCGCGUAGUUCAUCGGGUCAUACCCGAACUCCGAGGAGGCCGCCGCCGCCGCGUGGCCCGGCCUCCACCGGCACCUCCCGAUCCGAGCGAUGAGGCUGCGGCACCUGUACCGGAUCUCCGGCAGCAGGAGCUCCUGGGCCGUCGAGCGGACCUUGCGUGGGUGGCCGUCGUCACAGUCCGAGGAGGCGGCCUCGUGGUAGGCAGCGGCAUGGCCGCCGUCGUGGAAGCAUGAGAAGAGGAGGGACGGGGAGGAUGAUCAGAGCUUGUGAUGGAAGAGCAUUUCGACGGCGAGAGCGAUGGGACUCGGAUUCUUGGUCUGGUCUGUGCAAGGCCGUGAAGACAGCGGAGAGAGUGGAUGGAGAUGAGGAAGAAGAUGGAGAAGAGGAUGAGGUGGAGGGUUUAUUUAUAGGUCGGGCGGAAGAGGACGGAGGCGUGCGGCGGCAGAGCAGAGUGGUGUGGUGGUGGGGGCGGUGGGGGUGGGAGUCAGGAGUCAGGAUGAGGAGGAAAAGCGCGGCUGCUUCGUGGGGUGGACGUGGAAAGCGGUUUUUUUUGCGUUGAUCCCGCGUAAGUAAGGUGUCCAUCUUUACUUUUUCUUCACUAUAAUUUUGGCAGUUUGGUAAUUACGCAAAAGACGAGGGACCACGUAGCUACUGCCUUUUUUUUUUCUUUAAAGAUCUCUCUUUUGUUUUACGAAAGAGGAAAUUUAAAUGACUCUUUUAUGGGUUUCAUCAUACGACCAUAUAUAUGAUCAAGAGAGUAAACUACAAGAUCGGAAUCAGGAGCUCAAAGUCAUGAAUUCCGACCUUAGACUCCGUUCGUUUGACUGAAAAAUUAAUAUCUUGAAAAAUAUUUUCCUAACUUUAAUUGUUGUUUAUUGGUUACAAAAAUAAUUAAUGAAAUGCAUUUUCAUUAACAACUUAUAUUUAAACAUUUUUGUUGAUGAUGAGAAUAUUUUUUAUCAUCACUUUUCCUAGUGAUGUAAAAAAUAAAAAUUAGAAAAAUAUUUUUCAAAUUAUUAGUUUUUUGUGAAAAAAAGAGCUUUAGUCUCUUGGAGUAACUACGGUGUGGGAAAGAUGAUUUAUAUGAAGAUAGAGAAUCCAUAAACUUGGGAAUGUGAUGGAGACAAUUAGAUCAAGAAAGAAAAUCGAUAAGAUUUGAAAUGUCACAUAUUAAACGAGUCGUUUGAUUUUUCAUGUGAUAUCGAAUCAAAUAUCCGAAGGUUUAAAUCCCUCUAUCAACUCCCACAUUACUACACUUUUUAAUUUCUUUCAAUGUCUAGUAAAAUACUAACUUUGAGUCGUUUUCAUACAAUUCCUUUUGAGUAGAUAGGUGAUGUUUAAAUCAGUUUGUUGGUAUGUUGAUGCAUCCCUUAAAUAUAUGUUGAUGCACAAAUUGAUCCCAAGCUCAAAAAAGUGUGUUGCCUAAAUUAUUUAAUACACGUAGAAAAAUCAUUCAAUCGAUAAUUAAAACUGGGUUGCUUCGAUAAAAUUUUAUUUUCUUGUUCGAAAAUAAAUAGUCCAUUCAUAUCUCAAGAUGAUAUGUGAAAGACUCAAAAUAAAACAAAUCUCAACAAUAAAAUAGUAAAGUAGAAACUGUAGCAACGAGUAUACUGUCAUUCCAUAAAAAUGAAUAUGUGUUGAGCAUCAAAACAAAUUGAACAAUGGCACUAAUAUUUAAAGUCAAUAAGAACAAAUCAUUCUAUUCCCUGCAUAACCUUGCACUGAUCUCCACUCAUCUUUUCAUGUGACACUAAGCUCUUCACUUCCAAUGGUGGUUUCAUAGAUCUCCAAGCUGGUUUUCCCACAUACUUAGAACUUGCUCUCUCUCUCUCUCUCUCUCUCUCUCUCUCUCUCUCUCUCUCUCUCUCUCUCUCUGUCUCUCUCUCUCUCUCUCUCUCUCGUUAUAAUAACCGAGAUGUCCCGUGGUGCAUGAACAAAACGGGGGGACGAAGAAUGUUCCCUAAUGCCCAGUAGCUAGGACAUAAUCAUUGUAAUCAAUCACUAAUUAAAAACGAUGGGGGCAACCAUGCGUCGUGCUUGGUUUGGAUUCUGGUCAUUUAUGAGCCGAGCGCCUCCCGUGACUCCUGGGUUCAAGCCGCUCUCAAAGUGCGAGUCCGCAUAUGAGAGAGCUCCACGUCGGUGGAGAUUGGAGUGAGCGUCCGAGGGAUUCAUGCACCCAGCCAUUGGUUGCCCGCCGCCAGACACUUCCUCACCCGACAUUUUGGUAUAGAUAAUAGGGGAAACAUGGUGUUAAGAUUGACUUGAUCCUACGUGUUCAAUGCUCGAAACUCGACUCGAGCUUGAUUGAGUGUUAAGAUUGAUGCUUGAAUUUAAUUUGACUGGAAAAAUCGAGAUACUAAAGCUUGGAUAAAUAAGUAGUAAACUUCACUUUUAUAGAUCAAAUAUGCUUAUUGAAAGUGUCUAAAUAUAUAAUAUAAUAAUAGUUCGAUGAAAUAAGAUAUCUUUUUGGAUAACGCACGCUUUUCAAAUAUAUAAAAAAAAAAAGUAAAUUUUCGGAUUAUGUUGAAUACACAUAAUAAUUAAGGGAUCUAAAGUCAUUCCUCAUGCCAUAAGCUAUGGUCACUCUUCGCCGAUGGCAAAAAACCUAAAAAUUAUAUUAAUCAUGAAUAUAACUUAUUUAUAUUAUAAUUUAGCCAAUCAUAUCGUAUAGAAAUAGGUCUAUAAUUCAUUUUGACAUAUUUAGUAUCCGGCCAUGCAUAGUCCUCUGGGCCCUAUCCACAAGAAAAGGAAGUCGCAUCCACGUUAUCCAUAAAGUAAAUUCUUUCAUCCACGACAUAAUUUACUUCUUGUCGGCACCCAUUUCAUUGACGCAACACCAAUCAGCAAAAAUUGUUUAAAUACGGCACUCUCCAGGCAAAAAGCGAAAGCAAAAUGGAGACAAAGAUGACAUAUCAACGCAGAUUUUCCAUAAUUUUGAUAUUUCAAAAUCUACAUUAUGUACAGUAAGACACUGUCGACCCUGAUAGCCAAACUUGUCGAUCAAAAUCAAAAGACCUAGAGAAGAAAACUUCAACUAAACUCUAUAACUUCCCUCAGCAACUUUGUCGGUAGCAGCCGAUCCGGAGACACCAGCAGCCUCACCGAGAAGUUCCUUGCUGGGAGCUCCUCGUCUGACUCCCAGCUUCGAUCGUCCUCGAAGUUGAGUGCGUAGCUCAUUGGAUCGUACCCGAACUCCGAGGCCGGAGUUUCCUGCACUUGUCCCUCAUCUCCGGCAGUGGGAGCUCCUGAGCAGUGAAAAGCAGCCACUAGCCGGGCUACCAAGCUGCCUUGCGGCGGUUGACACUCUUAAAACACAGGCAAAUUGCAAAAUUGAACAAAUGUGUCCUUUCGCUAGUGCUAAGUGCGCCAAAAUCGCAUACCCGCACGCGGGUAUGGUGGGGUCUAGCUUCACCCAAUCAUUCAUUUAGCUGCACAAAGGAAAUCCCACACUUAUUAAUUAGCAUACUUCCUCCCACUUUUCUUAUGUGGGACAAAGAAAACGCACUUAAUUUGUUUUACAAACAAAUCUCCAACAAAAGAGAGAGGGAGAGCGCACGAUGCAGUCAGAGUCUGGUCUGGUCUGUGUGAGACUGAAGAGAGUAAAGAGAGUGGAUGGUGAUGAGGAAGAAGAUGGAGAAGAGGCUGAGUUGGUGGGUUUUAAUAGGGUGGACGGAGAAGGACACGGCCGAGGGGCGGGGGCGAGCAGCAAAGCAGAGCAGUGUGAGUCGGUUGUUUUUUGUCAAUCCGGCGUGAGGUUUCCAAUUUACCUCUCUUAACUUUCUUGUUGGGCAGUUUGGUAAUUAAGUAAAAGUCGAGGGAUCUUCUUUUUGGUUUUGCAAAAGUAGAAUUAGAUUAACAUUUUAUGGGUGGGUUGCGGGCAGAUAGGGAGAGAGAAGGGAUAUUUAUUUUCCUCUUUUUUGGGGGGUGGGGGUGUGGGGGGCACGGUUGAUUAUAUGAAAUUGCAGAAUUGAUAAACCUUGGAAUGUGAUGGACAUGAUUAAGUUCCAGGAAGAAAAUCAAAGGGGGCAUAACGGUAUUCCAUGAUUGUAUAGUGACAUUUUAAUUUCAAGACUAUUUUUAUCGAUUUACAUGAAAAUUUCGAAAUUAUUUGAUAGACUAGACAAGUAUAUCUUUAAAGUAAGGCUAUAAAAGAUAGAGGAUUAGGAUGUUCAUUUUUAUUUUUAUUUUCACGUGAUAUCAAAAUACAAUAUCCAAAUCUUUGAAUCCCUCUAUCACCUCCCACAUUGCAAUCGCUUUUCACUUAUAUAUAGCCAAAUACUGAUUUUAAAUUGUGCUGACGUAUUUGAUUUAAGCUUUUACACAUCUCAAUCGUCCGUCUUCUCGAGGACAUACACCUCUAUGUUGACGCGGUGCAUGUAUGAUUAUACCAUGUUCUCUCAACAAAAGUUGAGCGCAAGAACAUAGGAGAGGAGCAAACCACCUUACUAUCUAAGUCAACACUUAAUUAGUGUGUCAUUGCAUCUUUUAAACAUGAGCAAAAAGUGAUCCUCAGCUUGAGAAAGCAUGUUACAUAAAUCGGUCUACAUACAUAGAUAAAUUGUUCGAUUGGGGGUUCAACCUGAGUUACUCCGAUAAUGGAAGUUCGAAAGAAUGAAAAGCUUUAUUCCCUUCAUGCCCUUGCACUGAUCUCCGCUUACCUCAUGCACGUAAGGACUAAGCUUCUUCGCUGCUCUGUCCUGCGACAAUCUAGCUGCAUCUGCGACGCUGAAGCUUCUGUCCCGACGUUGCUGCUCCCUUUGAGGCGACGUCUAGACUCGUUGCUCCCUCAUUGGCCCAAUUGGCUUGACUGAGCACCUGCACGACCAUCGUGAUAUACUUCAUCUGUCCUGGUGCUACUUGCCCGUGCUGAUUGCCAGCAGAUCCACGGCCUCUUCUCACUACACCGCUGACGAGCCGCGAGCCUCUAACCGAUGGUCCUUGCUACGAGCCUUCAACAAUGGAUCACCCCGCGAGUAGUUGCUGCUUCUCGCUCCACAACGGCGCUGUAUUCCAGUUUGCCGUCCACCUGGUACCGCCGUCCGUUGCACCUCCAACACCACCCACCCAACAGCAUCAGCGCUAGCCACGCUUCAGUCCCAUGAAUUUUCUUUUCCUGCGGGUAUCCAGCGCCGCUGACCAUCCAGUGACACCCAGCAUCUCCUGCACUAGUUCCAAGUCCACCGCAGCUGAGCCAAGACAAAAAGAAAGAGGUGAUCUUGAACGGAGUGGAAGAAUGUUAAUUUGUGAUCCAAUUCUAGAAACUUCAAGAUAGAUUUGAACUAGAAAAAUCAAGAAAAAUUCUAGAAGAGUCUACAAGCUACCAUCUCUUAUGUGUUCGAGAAGUUUCAUCUUAUGUUACUAUAAAAUAAUAGUAGUUAUUUGUAGAGAAGUCUAGAGACUUCCUCCACCAACUUUGGCAGCUAUAUAAAGGAGCAAGUGCUCCAUGUUUUGUGUGGGAGCUAACCAUAAAAACCACCUUCCUCACCAACAUCUCCUUCAACUAUUGUAAAAUUAAUUUCAUAAACUAGUGAAACUAUCUUUGUCCCAUAAACAUUCUCAAAAUUUCCUAUCAUUGUCCAUUCUCUAUCAAAUAUAAACUAUACAUGCUUCCACGUACAUUUAAAUUCUAACAUGGUAUCAGAGCCAGGUUACGCCUAGGUUCGUAACUGAGCCAAGCGUAAGGGAUCAUGAAGCCAGAACCAGGCAUAUUGGAUGGUUAUGGGUGUUUGUCCUCACCAUCCUCAACUAAAAAGGCCAGAGCCUGAGCGAGAGCCAAGAGAGUCGGAGCCGGAGCCAGAGCCAGAAUCAAAGCCGGAGCCAGAGUCAGAAUCAAAGCCGGAGCCAGAGCCAAGCCUACGAGAGCCAGAGCCCGAGCCCGAGCUAACAACUACAACUAAGAACAAUUUGAUGCCCCGAGACAUAUGGGUCAUCGUUGAAGAAAAGACAUGCGCAUUCGAAGGCAAGUGCAAAUGUUCCGACAAGAGAAUGCAAGAUCGUGGAACGAAGACGGAAUAAAAGGCAUGGACAAAUUACAAGAGAAAUUUCAAGGUACGUCCAAGGCUUUAUAACACAAGUCCAGAGUAUCCCAAAAUUGGAUAAGGGGGAGUGUUGGAAUUUGUGAUCCAAUUCUAGAAACUUUAAGAUAGAUUUGAACUAGAAAAAUCAAGAAAAAUUCUAGAAGAGUCUACAAGCUACCAUCUCUUAUGUGUUCCGGAAGUUUCAUCUUAUGUUACUAUAAAAUAAUAGUAGCUAUUUAUAGAGAAGUCUAGAGGCUUCCUCCACCAACAUUGGCAGCUAUAUAAAGGAGCAAGUGCUCCAUGUUUUGUGUGGGAGCUAACCAUAAAAACCACAUUAUGUAGCUUCCUUACCAACAUCUCCUUCAAUUAUUGUAAUAUUAUUUUUAUAAACUAGUGAAACUAUCUUUGUCCCAUAAACCUUCUCAAAAUUUCCUAUCCUUAUCCAUUCUCUAUCAAAUAUAAACUAUACCAUGCUUCCACGCACAUUUAAAUUCUAACAAAGAAAAUAAAAGCGCUGGUCAAAGUGGAGAAAAGAAAAAUUGAAACGGAGAAAGAUUUAUUCCAUCAUUUGCAAACAAUAUCAACGCCCCCACUUUCCUGAAUACACGAUGCGGAGAGAAUACAAAGAAAGGGGAGAUUUUGGAAAUUCACUCCUUGGGUGCUCGUUCCUCACGUUUUCCCGAGAGUCACUACCUAACUGAGCCGAGCCGGAUCACGAAUCACCUGCCGAACCACCACCGCAACCAUCCUUUGCCAUCAAGCACAACCACGAGUAGCCUUGAUGCGAGCCUCACCCACAAGCCGCCUUCGAACAAGUUUGAAUUUGGAUUGCUCACUUCAAAUUAGGUAAUGAUCUUAUCCUAUUUGAUUUAAAUAUUUAAUUACAAAUUUUGGAUUGAUUUCGGCAUCUAAUUGUGCUAUUUGAGAUUUUAAUCAUCAUUCGAUAGGAUUUCAUUGACAAAAAUUAAAUAUAAUCAUUAAUUUGAGCCGUGAAAUGAUGGAUCUUUCUUUCUUUCUUUCUUUCUUUCUUUUUUAAAUUUUGUUUCCAAGCUAGUAAGUGCCUUAUAAGACGUGAGACAACAAAUUAUUUAUUUGAAUAUCAUAUUUAAACCCUGUGGAUAUCCUAGAUGAUUAAUAAGAUAGCCAACUUUAAUGAAUGUACAAUAAAUGAAAAUCACAUGUUCGAAUAUAUGGUUUUUUAAUAUGAUAUUGCCUAAUUUUAAAUAGAUUGCAUGUCAAGAUUGAUUCUAAAAAAAUAAAUCAGAAUAUAUUCUAGAUAUGAAUUUUCUUUAAUAAAUAGGAUUUAUUUAGAUAAUAUUGCAUAUUUAAAAUGGUCUUCUAAGAUAGGACAAUGUUUAGGUUAACCUAUUCACUAAUCUAUACACUGGAUAAUAACUUAUUUAAGAUCAAUUAAUUAGGAAAUUUAUCUACUUCAAAUUUUAAUAAAAAUACCAAAAUAUCAUAUGCAUGUCAUGUAGUUUAGGCCAUUUUAUAUUGCUAUGUCAUAUGUGUGUCAUGUUAGGUUCAUUUAAUUGGAAAUUGUAUGCCAUUAGAACUAGGUCAUGUAGUUAAGUGAACUUGCAUGUUACAUAGCCUAGUUUUAAUUUCACAAAUAAAAAGAAAGCUAAAAAAUAAGUGCUUGCUAUGGUAUUUAUUUUCCUGCAAUUUCUUUAUCUAUCGGUUGUUAUCUUUAAUGUUUGUGCACCCGCACUAACACUAGAUUAAAAUUAAUCUAAACUGUCUCACAAUUUAGUAUUUAGUUCUAAAAUUUUUAAUUAGAGUAAUUUAAUAUUAAAAUUUUCUACAUUAAUAUUAAUUGAGUCCAAUUGAUCAAUUUUUUGUUGGAAAUAAUUGAUGUUGACACUAGCCGUCUUAUGUGACAUGAUUGGUACUAACAUAGAUAGUUUUAAUAAUACUUUGAUAUUUUUUGAAAUUUUUUCUUUUAUUUUGGUGUAUUUCUUUUGUUGUUUUUUCACUUUUUUUUUAAGAUAACCUCUGGUUUCCCAUCAGUGCUGCUGAAGCGGCAGAUAGGGAAGAUGGUGUAGGUUUCUUCACCUCCGAAUCCUUCUUCUUUGUCUACUUUUUUCUCAACCUUCUCUCCUGCAAGACCGUUUCGAAUCAACGAAUUCAAACAAAAUCCACAGGACUGCUGUCAAAUUAAUGAUUAACGGAAGUGAACCGGCGUGUUUGGUAACGUUUGUAUUUCAAGGAAUAAUUUUUUAAUAGAAAUAGUUUUUAUUUUUUCUAUUACCAGGAACAAUUUUUGAAUAUAAGAAUACGCUUGGUAAGUGCAAAAAAAUUUCUAUUCCAGGAAUAAAAAUGUGUUUAAUAAACUUGUUUAAUUUUAUUGUUUCUUUUAAUUUUUAAAUAUUUUUAUUAUAUUUUUCCUUUUUUCUUUUUUUUUCCUUAUUUCUCUUUGUGGCCGGUCGCCAGCCAUGGCGGCGGCCAGCUACCGACGACCAGUUGGGUGAGCUCUGACGAGCUUGCCGGAGCCUCGCCAGGCCACCACAAGGCUUAGCCUCGCUAGAUCUGGGCGAGGCCGAGCCUCGCCGGUAGCUUUGGUGGCCAGGAUAGCCUCGUGCCGCCUAGGAGAGGCUCAACCUCGCCUAGGCGGCACGAGGUCGGCCUCGCCAGAUCUGGGUGAGGUCUUUUUUUUUCCCCAGAAAAAAAGAACAAAAAUUUUUGUUCCGCGGAACAGAAACAAUUUUAAACAAAUAGGGCUUAAGCAUCCGGAGUUUUGACCUUCCAAUUCUUCAUUGGAGGAUCAAUCAGGGUCCAGCUCUAUUCCAGUCCUCUUCCUCGCCAAUAGUCACAGUGUUUUCAGUUCUCUGUGAUAGAGAAAAGUAGUAUUUUAAAAUGUGGAUAUGAAAAAAGAAAGACGCGAAAAGACAUCGAGAAAGUUGGAAGUACUGUAUCUAUGGUCAAAUUUAAAAACCACGAAAGAUUGUUCCAAGCGAUUGUUAGGUUACUUGCUUCUAUGUAAAUGUUUUUUUUUUUUUUGGGUCAAAAUAAGAUAUGUAUAGAUUUUUCCGAAAAGAAUACAAGAAGGAGGCCUGGCAUCUACAAAAGACAGACACUCAAAAAGACAAAAGUCAAAGAAGAGUGUAAGGGUACUGUGGUUCCCAAACGAGACCAACUGGUAAAAACCAACAAAAGAAGCAAAGGACCACCAAACAAACGCUAGAGACAUCUAUCAAUCAAAGAGAGACGGAUGUAAAUCCCAGCUCUGUUGAAGUCUUCUAUUCUUGGGAAUGUCAGGAUCAUGCUUAAAGGUCACCGCCUUGUCUUUAAUAGCCUUAAGGAGGUGCAUCUUCAUCGCCGGGAGAAAGAGGGCCUAAUUACGAAAUAAGAUAUUGUUGCGCUGAUAUAACAAAGAGCUCCAAAGCCAAAACGAGCCAAAGACUAGUGAAAGCUACUAUCAGGGGAGAAUUACCAAAAAAGUCGUAAACCUAUUGCAAUUGCGCCAAUUUAUUCCUAAACUUUUUUUUUUGGUCAAUUUAAUCCUAAACCUUUUACAAUUGUGCAAAUUCAGUCCAUCCGGCCAAAAUUGGCCAGCCGGCGCUAACGUGGACGCCGGCCGGCCAAAGGCGAGGGCCGGCGAGGUCGUCCUCGCUGAUUACUGGAAAGACAAGCCCUACCCGACCUGGGCGAGGCGAAGUCUUGCUACAUCUAGNNNNNNNNNNNNNNNNNNNNNNNNNNNNNNNNNNNNNNNNNNNNNNNNNNNNNNNNNNNNNNNNNNNNNNNNNNNNNNNNNNNNNNNNNNNNNNNNNNNNNNNNNNNNNNNNNNNNNNNNNNNNNNNNNNNNNNNNNNNNNNNNNNNNNNNNNNNNNNNNNNNNNNNNNNNNNNNNNNNNNNNNNNNNNNNNNNNNNNNNNNNNNNNNNNNNNNNNNNNNNNNNNNNNNNNNNNNNNNNNNNNNNNNNNNNNNNNNNNNNNNNNNNNNNNNNNNNNNNNNNNNNNNNNNNNNNNNNNNNNNNNNNNNNNNNNNNNNNNNNNNNNNNNNNNNNNNNNNNNNNNNNNNNNNNNNNNNNNNNNNNNNNNNNNNNNNNNNNNNNNNNNNNNNNNNNNNNNNNNNNGGCUCGACCUCGCCAUGGCUGGGCGAGGCCGAGCCUCGCCUUGGCUGAGCGAUGGCGGCCUUGCCGUCGUUGGGCAAGGCUCGCCCCCGCCGGCCACUGGCGAAGGCAAGCCUCGUCCAGCGACGGCAAGGCCGCCGUCGCUAGAUCUGGCGAGGCUCGACCUCGCCAUGGCUGGGCGAGGCCGAGCCUCACCUUGGUUGGGCGACGGCGGCCUCGCCGUCGCUGGGCGAGACUCGCCUUCGCUAGUGGCCGACGAGGCUGACCUCGCCGGCCCUCGCCUCUGGUCGGCCAACUAGCGCCGGCCAAAGGAAGAAGAAGACAGGAAGAAAAAAAAAAUUAAAAAAUCGAAAAAAAUAAAAUUAAAUUAUUAAAAAAUCGUUCGCCGGUCGGCCGGUGUCCACGUCAGCGUCGGCCGGCCAAUUUUGGCCGGUUGGACUGAAUUGGCACAAUUGUAAAAGAUUUAGGACUAAGUUGGCCAAAAAAAAAGUUUAGGACUGAAUUGGCACAAUUGCAAUAGGUUUAGGACUUUUUUGGUAAUUCUCCCCUACUAUCAGUGAUAUGUUUGGUAGCCCAAUCAAGAUUCUCCAUCCAAGGCUUAUUAAGCCAAGCAAAAAGAAGCAAGACUACCAUAGAUGUGGCAAGCAAAAAACAAAUGAUCUAUGGAGUUCAGUCGACAAGAGCAAAGGGGGCACAUUGCAGCCGUAAUUCUACUAUAAGAUAAGAGCAAAACCUGAGUUGGUAGGCGGUUACAUGUGAUAAGCCACAGAUGUGUUUGAUAGUGAGGAGGCAAACAUGAGCUCCAAACGAAUGAGGACCAAGAAACCACAUAACCCCUAGAGCGAAUUAGAUCCCUAGUCGAAGCCGUUGAGAAUCUCCCGAAAGGGUGUCGAAGCCAUUGAAAACGGUCUUCUUCUUGGCUAAAAACUAGAAGAGGAUCUCCCCAGUUUGCUAUAAUAUUGAGGACAUACCAACCCAUAGGAGUAGAAAAUCCAUCGGCAACCGAAGCUAGCUGCAAAAUACCCGACCGGUAAAUUUCCUGGUUGGAAAAAAUUCUAUAGAGGGGACCAUUUGGAUGCCAAGGGUCAAACCAAAAGGAGACCGAGUGUCCAUUCCCAAUAAUCCACUUGAAGUGUUGGUAAAAAUGCUCAUGAAGAUCCAAGAUUUUUUUCCAAGCCCAAGAGCACUGUUUAGGCCAUGGAACAAUCCAAAAGUUCUUCUAUUUUAAAAAGGUGGAAUGAAUCCAUUUGCACCAUAGGGACUCCUUAUCAGAAAAGAGUAGCCAAAUGUGUUUGAGCAUGGAAGUUAUAUUACUUUUUCUCAAAGUACGAAUACCAAGGCCGCCUCCUUUUUUAGGUAGACAAACAUCACUCCAAGACACCUUAGCACCACCCACACCCAACAUCAAACCUUUCCAAAGAAAUUGCCGAAGUAUUUGUUCAAUGCAAUUAAGGACCGCACAAGGUAGAAAGAAAACAUUGGCCCAAUAAACUUGGAUGAAAUGCAACACUGACCCGAUAAGUUGCAAGCGUCCCACAAAUGAUAGGAAACGAUGAGUCCAUGAUUGAAUUCUAGCAAUAAUAGCAUUCACCAAAGUGACACACUUUGCCUUUCCUAAUCUGGAAGAAAUAACAGGCACUCCAAGAUACUGAAAAGGCAGGGAGCCCAAUUGGUAACCCAACUUAUUCAAGAUAUUAUCACAAAGAGUGGAAGAGCCUCCAGAUAAGAAGACUUCACUUUUUCUCAGGUUUGGAAUAAGGCCACUCCAACUAAAAAAAUAUAUGUCUCUGCUUUUAAAAGAUCAAUAGAAGCCAAGCUAGCUUCUACAAAGAGUAGCACAUCAUCUGCAAAGAAAAGAUGAGAGAGCUUGGAAGACUUACAACGCCAAAAGAACCUGAAGGCUAGUUGGCUGGUUUGAAAAUCCAAUAAGCCCGUAAAGAUUUCCAUAACAAGUGUAAAGAUGUAUGGAGACAUUGGAUCACCUUGCCGGAUGCCCCUACUGCUAGAAAGAAUCCAUGGAGUUCCCCAUUCAAGGAUAUUGAAAAUUUAGGAGAACGGAUGCAGACCAUAAUGCGAGCAAUAAACUCCAGGGGAAAGCCAAAAGCUUGUAGAGUUAACUCAAUGAAAUCCUAGUCCACCGUAUCGUAGGCUUUCUGAAAAUCAACUUUAAUAACACAUUUUGGCCGGUAAGGCUUAAGAUGGAAGCCACAAAAAAGCUCCUGAGCUAACAAGAUGUUGUCACUAAUAUGUCUGUCUUUAACAAACGCAUUUUGAGGCAAGCUAAUGAUAGAGGGCAUCACAUGAGAGAUACAGUUGGCAAUUAACUUCAUGAUGCAUUUGUAAAUAGUGUUGCAACAAGCAAUAGGUUGAAAAUCAUUAACAUCAGAGUUAUUGGGGAUCUUGGGAACCAAGGCCAAGAUAGUAGUAUAUAUCUCCCGCAACAACUUGCCAAUCACGAAGAAAUCUUUAACCGCCAUAAUAACCGAGGGACCAACAAUUCCCCAAGAGCGCUUGAAGAAUUCUACAUUAAAGCCAUUGGAGCUAGGGGCUUUGCCCACUACAAGCGAGAAAAGAGUAUCUCGAAUCUCCAAAUCAGAGAUAGGGCUGGAGAGAAAAUGCACUUGGUCUUCAUCAAGGGUCCGCUUUAAGACAGCCCUAAUCUCCUCCAUAGUGGGCCGACCAGAGGGAGAAGAUGCCGCCAGUAGAUCAUGAAAUGUGAGACAAGCAAGUGUUGCACCUCAGUAGGGUCGGAGGUAAUACUAUCGCCACUGGACAACGAGAUAAUCCUAUUACAAAGGUGUCUUCGAUUUACUGAGUGAUGAAAAAAUUUGGUGUUGAGAUCGCCUUCUUUCAACCAACAGACCCUUGAUUUUUGCCUAUAAAAAUAUUCUUCUUGUAGGCACAAAUCAGAGAAUCUCUUAAGUUGAAUCUUCUUAUUUUCAGCCAGUUGUAGAUUCAAUGGAUCACAAUGCAGGGCAUCUUGAGUUUCGCAUAAAAGGUGCCUCGCUUCAGCUGUUCUAGAGGAGAUGUCUAAGAAGGACUCUUUGUUUAGUUGUUUUAGCCUGCAUUUAAGAAGACGCAAUUUGCAGCAGAGUAUGUACAUUGGCGUCCCACUCAAGGGAGAGUCCCAUACUUGAGCAACCAAGCUGAAAAAGUUCAGGUGAGUUGUCCAAAAGUUGAAAAACUUAAAGGGCUUGCAAAUCUUAAGAGCAAACAUAAUUUUAAUAACCAUUGGCUAGUGAUCCGAAAUUCCAGGGGCCAAAAUUUUAUUUUUUGGAAAAAAGAGAACUCAGCAUUCCAGAGAGAAUUCACUAGAACUCUAUCUAUUUUUCUUUGCUUGUGAUUAAGUCCCGAAGAAGUAGCCCAUGUAAACCUAUGGCCAAUGUACCUAAGAUCAUUGAGACCUGCUUCAAAGAGGCAAUGACGAAACUCAUCAAACGCCGGAAUCCAAGCAUUAGAGCUCCUCAACCUGUCAGAGUAGUCCCGAAUAGCAUUGAAAUCACCUGCUAGAAUCCAAGGCAAGCUCGCAAAAAGAGAGCUAGAUUGAAUAAGGUCAGCCCACAGAGGACGUCUCAACACAAAGCUAUGUUCCGCAUAAACCACGGUGAAUAAGAAGACUUUGCCCGAUGCCAACCAAGAAAGCCGACCAUGCACCGCUUGUGCUGAAGAAGAGGUUACAACGAAGGAAACCACCAAGGGGUUCCACCCCACCCAAAUUCUUCCCCUAUGGGAAUAAUCAUAGUUGCUAUACCAAAUCCAACCCGGCAACAAAGUAGCAAAGAUCAAAUUGAAUGCCGAUUGGGAGAUUUUAGUUUCAACAAUCCCAACAUAGUUCAAGUUGUUGGUUCUAACAAAAUUCCUUACUUCUGUCCGUUUUAGGGGGUUGCCUAGGCCCCUAAUAUUCCACGCUCCUAUGUACAUAUAAGAAUAUGAAUAUAUAGACAAAAGAGGAAGGAGUUACUGACGCUUUGGAAGGCGUCUCCGACUGGUCCCCUGCUUUUAUGUAAAUGUUUAACCCAGCUCUUUGGAAGAAUCUAAUUCUGUUUUAGGACUUGACAGGAGGAAGACAAGGCAAAGCUAGUGCAGGAAACCAGCCUACAAUUAAAGCAGAUGAAUAAUUGGUUCAUCAACCGGAGGCAAAGAAACUGGCACAGCAACCCUUCAUCAUCAUCCGUCUCAAAGAGCAAACGCAAAAGGUACCUCAAAAUAGACAUCACCUCGUUAAUGCGAAGCUUCCUUGAUAUUAUGUUUCUUUGCAUGCUAAGUUUGAAGAACUUCUGCAGGUGAAAGCAGCAGCUAUUGAUCCCUUGAUGUGGAUUUGAGCAAGAGCAACGAUCAAAUUCUGACAGACAAUAUUCAGCGCUUCACUAGAAUGGAUACUUAAAGAGUUAAGAUAAGGAACAUUGGCCAGUGGCCUCAUACAAAGCUUCAUCAAACAGGAACAUUUGGAAGAUGACUUUGGUUCUAGGAAAAAAAAAUUAUGUUAGCGAAGAGGACAGCUCUCGCCUUGUGACAGGAAUUUUGAAGAUAGUCAAUUAACCAUAGAUGCGGUCGUGAUUAUUGAGGGGGUACUGAGCUAGGAGAUUACACAUUUAGAACUAGAAGUAAUAUCAUACGGUUUCAUUGUCUCUACUGCUUGUCCACUUUACAUUUUGUGAAUACAUAAGCCUAGUUAGGUAUUGUGUACAAUUGGUAUAAUGAUCUGUAUGUAGUUCCUCUCCAUUCUCCAUGCUGGUGACAUUUAUAGCUUUCCUUGGCUCUCCAAUGUAGUGUAGAUUUACUGUGAGAGUAACAUACAUUUUGUACACUGUUAGGUUACUGGGUUUGGAUUGCUACUAGGGAUAAUGACUGAUUAUGGUCAUAGAUAGGAUCAUUUGCCUGAAAUUCUAUGGCAUAUUACAACCUCAAAAAUUGUCGCCAGUUCUUGUGAUGAUUUAGCCACUUCAUUGUCACAGCUCUAUAUUUAAUUAAUUAUGAAUAAUUGUACAUUAAGCUGGUGUAGCUGAAAAGUUCUGUUCAUAUCCCUCUUCUUCUAUGUAACAAAAAACAACUUUAUCACGCCAAAUUCUGUCUAUCCUGAACUCCUACACAUUGAGCGAUCACCUCUGGUGUGGCUCAUGUUGCAUACAAAGUUCCGUUUCUUGAUAAACUGAGAUUUGAAUAGGAGGAAACGGUCCUGGGGUCAGUCCAGGUGCAAACUUAAAAGAUAACCGUUUGAGCUUGUCUUUAGUGAAUCUAGAAGAAAAAGGCUAUGCUUCACAAUAAUCACCAAAAAUUUCCUCAGCUUUUCUUCAAGAUGACCUAUGACAAAGAAUUGAAAAUUUGUUUCGGCCGGUCAACUCCAAGUCAGCUGAUGAUUGGCAGAAUGAAUCCGAUAAAGAAAAAUGCAUAAAAAAAGAUGAACAUUGAAUUUUCUAAUGCAACUUGGGCAUAUAAAAAUUUUAUAUCAUUUGAACCACCAUUUUGUCCUGAUAUACCAAAUAUUUAUGAUGAACUGUUUGAUGAUUUCUCUAUUAUUGUGUAGGUCAUUUUGUAUCUUUUUGGCACCGUGCUUCACUAUUCUCAUCAUUAACUUCUUGGCAAACAUACCAUACACGUUGUUAUAUAAUCCACAAAAUCAGUGGAUAUCCAAAUUUAGGAUCUUCUAACGUUUCUGCUAACCUACCCUCAAUUUUUGAACUAGAUAACUGCAAUUCCUUUUCUUUUUUUUUCUUUUUUUUUUUUUAUUAUUAUUAUUUUUUUUUUUUUGCUCUUAGACAUCGUUAAACAGCUCGGUGGUUUACACAGAGAAUCACAUUAUCUUGACCUCAUCUUGAAAUCCAACAUUUGAAACCUUGACCUCUCCUAUUUAAAAAAAAAAAAGGAGAUAUGCUAGUGCAAUUUACAGAUGUUUUUCAUGAAAUUAAUGCUUCUUGUCAAGUGUAGCGAACUUUAUUGUCUAACCAUAGAUGCAGACAUAAGAACUUUAUUGUCACAUAGCUUCCCAGUGUGGCCAAUGAUUACAAGAACAACAAAAGUUUGGUGUUUUCCCAGUUGGCGUGCCAAACAAGCAAUAGGUUUCGCAUUGGUCUGUCAUUUGGACGAAGGCCAAUCUAUGUAUUUGCUGCCACACCUGCAGUUCACGAAAACAGAGGUCCUCCUGUCUCCUCCGAGCAGGUCUAUGCAAUUUCCCAUGAUCGAUCGACUCUCUCUGCUUGGUGCCAAUCCAUGGAACGUGACCAACUACAUGUUCUCAUUUUGAGGGGUUACAGUAUCCCACACAGACCAGCCCAGGCUAUCCUUAAGACAUCAGCUACGCAGCUUGACUCAAGCACUUCUCCGACAAAAUCCUUUCAAUCAAAACCAUCUCAGCCUCCUCCUCAUCAGCUUGCUCCAAAACCGAAUGAUCCCCCAGAAGAUUGUCUGACAGAUAUGCUUGCGAGGUUAGGAGAACCCCUGCAGGAUCCUGUAACGAUAAAAAAGAAAUAGAGUAGCUGAGAAUCAACUAAGGAAAGUCAUCAAACAGUUGAUAAGGGCAAUGUGUAGUGAUAGGAAAAUUGAAAACUAAUGCGACGAACCAAUGCCAAAGAGACUUACUAAAAUAGAAAGCAGAUGGCAAUAACUAAUGAUGAUAGAGAGCGAAUAUAAGGAUUACGGAUUAUCGAGAAGAAUGGGGGGUGACGAUCGUGGAGGAAUGUAGGUGAAAGAAAACAUCAUUGUGAUGUAGGGAAAGCUCUCGACAAAGAGAGAGAAGCUCUCACAUAGGGGAGAGACACAAAUCUAUGUACAUCUUCCUGAAGAGAACUUGAUGUCCCAUUCUUUUUGGAGCAUAAAUGCUAGAAAGUUAAACAUAUCAAGAUAAGAGAAAAACGGUUCUUGUAAUUUCCAGCUUAAAGAAGAUCUGUUAGUAAAAUCUCCUGAUUUAAAUUACAUAAAUGUACUUAUGUGCAAUCAAUCUUGAGCUUUAGUGGCUGAAAAAUCAAUCUUGAGCUUCACUCUUUUAAUGCCAAUGAUCUUCCAUUAUUUUUGCACUGUUCUACUUCAAAGCAGGGUCGCACGACGUCGUCAACAUGUCAAAUGGUGAUAACAAUAACUGCCACAGUACUUCUAUGUUCAAAGACUAACCAACGGACCAGCCAACUUUUCCCUCUACGGCGCCUGCAAGUAUUACUUUGUCUACACCUUUGCAAACAGCGAUCGUUGCUCUCAGGGCCAAAAAUUACCUGUCACCGUCGGUGAAACUUCCGCCACCCCAACCUCCAGUCCAACUAGAUCCCUAUAGCUACCAGCCCCAACCACUAGGACCACUCCAUCUCUACCACCACCUGGAAGUGACGCUUCAUAUAUGUGUAACACUGCUAGUCCUGUUCAUGAGUGUAUUAAACAUAAAAUCAUUAUUCUACUGGAUAUAGAUGGACUAUUGAUAGAUCAUGAGAUGUUGCUACUCGUCAUAAAGUGAAUAACUUGUGAAAAAACUUCUUCUCAUAAUUCCAGCAUGCUUCAUAUAGAUAACAUUGCUCAAACUUGUAAUAAAUCAUAAGUUUCUUUGGAAUAAAUAUAUGGUUCUGCUCCCAUAUUCUGAUGUUUGGCUCUAUUUGCAGUUCUGAUAUCAUGAAAACCAAGAUUAUUAGAAAAAUUAGAAUGUGGCAGGAUACAAAAACUUGCAUACUGAAAAGUUGAAAUAGAGCAUCAGUAGAACAAAUCCUCAUUGGUGUAGCUAAAAGUCCCACCAUUGGAAUGACAAAUGAGUAGAAGAGUAAAUCACACGGUGACAGGGAAAAUGGUGUGAAUCUUGUGAGGAUCAAACUCAACACAAACAUUCGAUCGAGAACUUAAAAUGACAAUGAAACUAUCAACUCUCUCUUGCAGCCAUGCAGCAGAUACCGCUGAAUUGUGGUGAUCCAGAGUGCCACAAGUCCAGCAGCAUGACCGCUCUCCUUUGCCAAUGUGAUUUUGUACUUUCCCUCCAGAAGCUUCCUUAAUAAUCGACAUGUCAAUCAUUAAAUUAGUUCAAGCAAUCAUAUGAGAACAGACAAAAGAGAAAAUUACAUUUGCAAUAUGCAAGAACAAUAAAAACCCCAAUUUAAGCAAUCAGGAAAAGCAAGCAAAUUGACAUCAUUUCUAAGUGCGGGAUUUCAAUCGUCCACCUUAAGAAGCUGAGAUGACUAUGGUAAAGGGAUUUUCUGAAAGAGCUGCUUGUUCUUUCAACGUUUUGUAAUUUCCACCUAAUCGACAUCAAGUUAAAAAAAAAAACGUAAAUUAUAAACCAGUGUGCCUCAACUAAAGAUAAAAGUUUAACUCGCCAUGGAAACAAAACAAACAUGUCAUUGAUGACCUACGAUCAAGCAGAACAGCCUUCAGAUACAAAACUUAAAAAGUGAUUAUUAAUCUAAAAGUCUGGUUCCCGAUAUCAUGUUGAGAUUGAGCAAUCGUAGUGGAUGCAGAUGACAAAUUAUUUUCUAGGGGCACUCUUAUGAUAUAGUCCUCCUACAAGGGCUGCCAGUUACAUUCCUCCCAUGAUAGAGAGAAAGAAUUCAUUCCAACUAAGAAACAUGAAUCACUCAGUAAUCUAUAAAAAAUAAUCACUCACAGAUGAAUUACCAGGAUUGCCAGCUUCAUUCAUGAUUUUAUCAAGUCUAAGAUUUUGCCUUACUAGGGGACCAGGAUUGUCUCAAAUAUCGAACUAUCACCAGAAUGUGAUCUCAUGAAAACCUGACAUGACAACUGCUCAUAUUCUAUAUAAGAAAAGCUCAACACAAUUUAGAUAUUCGCUUUAGCGACUUGCAUCUAGAAAUGUCUAAAGCUUGCGGAGCUCCUAGUCUCCAAGCCCUCGGGGCUCAAUUAGUUUGUUGCAGUCUCAUACGACAAUUGACAAGCAUCAUGAAAUCUCUAUAUUUUAUAGGUAUCUCGAACCUGUGAGUCCUGGGAUGUCUGAUAGCUCCCAACAAGCUGUCACUAACAAGUUCCUUAAAUCUUCAGAUUUCAACGCCAGGGAAUUUUGCUAAAGCUUGCAUCCUUGAAUACACAAACUUUUGCAGGAUGAGAAUACCUUCAAGCUUUGAAUGUCAUGUAGCUUUUUCACAGUGGUUGAUGUUUCAACCUUUGUUUUCAAGCACAAUAGAUCCGAUAAUCUUCCAAGGGAAGUGCAACCAUGAAUAUCCAAUAUUACCCCAAAAAAAUCCAGCCCGUCAAGGCCACGUUUCAACAUGAAACCCUCAAGAUUCUGAAGUUCAGCUCUAUUUGCAGUUCCAAUAUCAUGAAGAUCAAGAUAAUUAGAAAAAUUAUAACACAACAGGAGACAAAAACUUGCAUAUUGGAAAGUCAAAAUAGAGCAUCAGUAGAACAAAUCCUUAUUGGCAUAGCAAAAAAAACCCCACCAUUGGAAUGACAAAUAAGCAAAAGAGUAAAUCACGCGGUGACCGGAAAAACACUGAAUCUUUAUAGGAUCAAACUCAACACAUAAAUGGCUGAUUGAGAACUUGAAAUGACAGCGAAACUAUGAAAUCACUCUUGCAGCCUUGUAGCAUAUCAAAUUCAUGCCUAAUGAUCAGCUUGAAAGAACCCGAUGGGUUUUGGGGAUCCAGAGCACCACAAGUCCAGCAGCCUGACUGUUCUCCUUUGCCCAUGUGUUUUUGUACUUUUCCUCCAGAAGCUUCCUUAAUAAUCCACAUGUCAAUCAUCAAAUUACAUUGAGCAAUCAUAUGAGGACAAACAAAAGAAAAUUAUAGUCGCAAUAUCGCAGAACAAAAAAGAAAAAAAAAACGAUUCCAGCAAUCAUGAAAAAAAAGCAAAUUCACAUCAUUCCUGAGUGCGGGCAACAUCAUAGAACAAUAAAAAACCAAUUCAAGAAAUCAUGAAAAGCAAGCAAACUCACCUCAUUCCUGAAUGUGGGAUUUUUAGUCGUCCACCUUAAGAAACUGAGAUGACUAUGGUCAAAGGGAUUUUCUUAAAGGUCUGCUUGUUCUUUCAACGUUUUGUAUCAACCGUGUCAAUAUUGCACAUGUGCCAGUGUGCCUGCCAUCAUAAGAAUCAACAGAAGAUAAAAGUUUAGCUCGCCAUGUAAACAAAACAAGUUAUAGAUGACUUGCGAGCAAGCAGAACAACCUUCAAAUACAAAAUUUGAAAAGGGAUUAUUAAUCUAAAGUCUGGUUUGGGAUAUCAUGUUGAGAUUGAAGGGAUCAUAGAGGAUGAUAAAUGACCAAGUAUUUUCUCAAAAAGCACUCUUAUGAUCUAGUCCUCCAACAAGGGUGGACAGUUACAUUCCUUCCAUGAUCGAAAGAUUUCAUUCCAACUAAAAACAUGAAUCACUUAGUAAUGUACAAAAAAUAAUCACUCACAGAUGAUUCACCAAGAUUGCCAGCUUCAUUCAUGAUUUUAUCAUCUAAGACUUUGCCUUACUAGGGGACAGGGGUCACUCAAAUAUCGAACUAUCACCAGCAUGUGAUCUCAUGAACACUUGACAUAAGAACUGCUCUAUAUGAGGAAAGCUCAAGACAAUUCACAUGUUGGCUUGCAUCUAGAAAUGUCUAAAGCUUGUGGAGCUCCUAGCCUCCAAGCCCCCGGGGCUCAAUUAGUUUGGCGUAGUCUCGUGCGACAAUUGACUAGCAUCAUGAAAUCUAUAUACUUUAUAGGUAUCUCAAUCCUUUGAGCCCUGAGAUGUCUGAUAGUUUCCAACAAUCUGUCACUAUCAAGUUCCUUAAAUCUUCAAAUUUCCAAACAACUAGAAAUUUUGCUAACAACUUGCAUCCUUGAAUACACAAACUUUUGCAGGAUGAGAACACCUCUAGGCUUUGAAUGUCAUCUAGCUUUUCACAGUGGUUGAUGUUCAACCUUUUCAGGGUUUUUUUUUUUUUUCAGGGUUCAACCAUUUCAGGGUUUUCAAGCAUGAGAGAUCCAAUAAUCUUCCAAGGGAAGUGCAACCACGAAUAUCCAAUAUUACCCAGAAAAUCCAGUCCAUCAAGGCCACAUUUCAACUACACUCUUAAAGUUAGCAACAUGAAACCUCCCAAAUUCUUCAAACUAGAAGGUUAUCUUUCGAUGGAUGUGCAAUUAGAGAUAUCCAAUCUUACAAAUAAUCAACCUCUCAAGGCCAUGAAUUUCAACUAGAUUCCCGCAAUCUGUAGCACAAAAUCCCUUUAGAGAUUUUGAACUUGAAAGGUCUCUUUAUCUUUCAAUGGAUCGAAAAUCUGGCCAUCUUUUUAAUGGACAUUCAUUUAAAGACAUAAAACCUUCUCAAAGAUUCUACAAGUGCAUUGCCCAUUUUUCCUUUAGCGCUCUUUGUCAUAUCAUUUAGAAAAAUAGGAAUAGCAUCAUAUUCAAAGAUCAGCCUCUUACAAUCCCGGCCAUGAAGAACCAUCUCUUCAAAGUGGUCCGAGACAAGGCUGUCACCUUUAAGAACGUAGAAGAUAAUAUUAGAAAUAGAAGGUUGUAGAGAAGUUGGGGCCUAAACCCGAUUAUUUUCUCAGGGGACCCAUAGGUUGGCUACUUUGGAUCUAAUAGUGCCCUCUCUCCCCGCUUGAGGCUUGCUUGGUAGUCGGUUGUCCAUGCCGUGCUUCUCUUUCGGUGUUUGUGUUGUAGUGUGUGUGCCGCGGUUGCGGCUUUUACAUCUUGGCACACUUCCACUCCUUAUGAUCCUUCAUUUGGAGUGUAAAUUUCUAGUGACGAGAUCUUUUGUACAUUUAGCCUUUCCUCAAUAUAUUGAUUACUUUUUACCAAAUAAAAAAUAAAAAAUUUCUUAGUCUUUAAGCUGGAAAAGUUUGGAGAUCUUUUAAUAGAAGUACACCUAGAGAGAUUCAAUCUUGCCAAUAAAUAUAACCUGUAAAGACCAUGAAUUUCAACUAGAUUUCGGCAAUUUGCAGCAUGGAAUAUUUUAAUGGACGAGCAUCCAGAGAGAUAUAGAACGUUUCUAGAUAUUCUAAAUGGCUCAAAGCCUCAAACUUCGACUAAAUUCUCGCUGUAUGCAGCAUCUGAUUCUCUUAGAUUCUUUUUAAACUUGAAAGGAAAAGUAAUUGAAUGGACAUGGAACUAGAGAUAUUCAAACUUACCACGCUCUUGUGAUUGGCAACACAUGAUAGAUUUAGAUGUUUCGAACUUAAAAGGUCCUGCGAAUCUCAACUAGAUUCUCGCGACUCGCAGCAAUUUGUUUCCCGUGGAAUCUUCAAAGUUGAAGGAUCUGGUGACCCUUCGGCUCAUUUCCCACAGAGAAUUUGGGCUUGUUGCCUCUGGAGAAUCUGGGAACGCCUAAUCAAUGUCGAAGUCUAACUAAUGCCAAAACUUUUUGUGUCUGGUAGCUGUAGCCCCAACCACUAGGACCACUCCAUCUCCACCACCACCUGGAAGUGACGCUUCAUAUCUUUAACACUGCUAGUCCUGUUCAAGAGUUCAUUACACAUGAAAUCAUUAUUUCUACUAGAUAUGGGUGGACUAUUGAUAGAUCAUGUGAUGUUGCUAUCCGUCAUAAAGUGAAUAAACUUGUGAAAAUAAUGCUUCUUCUCAUAAUUCUAGCAUGAUUCAUGUAGAUAACAUUGCUCAAACUUGUAAUAGAUCAUCGGUUUCUUUGGAAUAAAUAGAUGGUUCAACUCCCAUAUUCUGAAGUUCAGCUCUAUUUACUGUUCCGGUAUCAUGAAGACCAAGAUUAUUAGAAAAAUUAGAAUGUGGCAGGAGACAAAAACCUGCAUGCUGGAAAGUCGAAAUAGAGUAUCAGUUGAACAAAUUCUCAUUGGCGUAGCUAAAAAGUCCCACGAUUGGAAUCACAAAUGAGCAGAAGCGUAAAUCACACAGUGACAGGAAAAAUGGUGUGAAUCUUGUUAGGAUCAAACUCGACACAAGCAGUCGAUCAAGAACUUGAAAUGACUAUGAAACUAUGAACUCACUCUUGCAGCCCUGCAGCAUGUCAAAUUCACACGUGAUGAUCAGCUCGAAAGAACCUGACGAAUUUAGGGAAUCCAGAGCGCCACAAGUCCAGAAUGACCGUCUUCCUUUGGCCUAUGUGUUUUUGUACUUUGCCUCCAGAAGCUUCCUUAAUAAUUGACAUGUCAAUCAUUAAAUUACUUCGAGCAAUCAUACGAGAACAAACAAAAGAUAAAACUACAGUUGCAAUAUCCCAGAACAAUAAAAACCCCAAUUCAAGCAAUCAGAAAAAGUAAGCAAAUUCAGCUUGUUCAAGCAUAGGUUUCUGCCAUCAUUUUCAUCAAAACCUCCGCACGACCACCGUAAACCACCACCUCCAUUAGUCAAUACUACCAAUACACUCCAUCUUCGACCAUCAACUAUGACAUCCUGAUUUUCAGGUUUUGUUUUCGAUUGGAUAAGUUAGGCUUUUCAUCGACGCGCCUAUAGCCAUUUUCUCUGAGUUGGCCACUCACGAGAUAAUUAGCCUAUCGGGUGAAGCCGUUAAAUGAUUUUCACAUAAUAGACUUGAGAAUUCGACUAGGAAUCGAUUGCUCGACUGUGCUAGUCAGCAAUGGUCAUAAUAGCAUUGUCAAAAUCGAUCAGAGAUCAGAGAUAGAUCAAUUUAACUGAGAUAUGUGAUAAAAGUGUGGGUUAUUCCACCCGAUUGCAAAAUUCUCAUCAAUCAGCAUUAGACCGAUUUUUCUGUCGUUUUGGGUAUCAUGUACCCGUAUUCGAAACCUGGAAAUUUUCACGACAAUCGAAAGUCGCCAAUGUGUCGAAGAUGUACAUUGUGACUCGAAAUAAAUCGAUCAUGGGUCAAUUGCGCGAAAAAUUCCUAAAAGCUACCCAGUAAGCUAGGUCAUGCUAAAAUCGCGUCAGAUUGAAAUUAAUUGCAAAAUUGGAUCCGAUUUCAGAAAUUUAAAGUUAUGUCAUGUCACAACUUAUUAUAAGACCGUCGACUCAUCCUUCAAAGAUUUUUCUGCAAACCGAGAUUUUUGGCGAAAUUUCAAUUUAGGGCUAUUUUUAUUUGGAAAAUUUAUAGGACUGUUUUUUAUUGCCCUUUGGGAUGCAAGUUAGUUCUAUUGGUGGGGAAAAAUGUUAAAUUGGUCAAUGACAUUAUAGUGGAAUUUAUGGGGAUUGAAUUGAAUACAAUUGAAGGAGAUUUGGUUCAAUUUGGGAGAAUUUGUGCCCAAAUUCGUAGGCCAUGGUCCCCCUCAACUUUUGAACCACUUGGAGAGUGUUCUAGAGAGAUUUUGGUGCACCAAUUUGGCUAAGGAUUGAGCUGAAACAUGUGGGACCUCUUCAAGGGGACAAAAGGAUAGAAUGGAAGUUUGGAGGGACCCUUUACAAGGGUAGCCGGCUUCUUCUUCUUCUUCAGCUCAGCCUACUUUCUCCAUUUUCUUUGUGUUUAAACCUCCAAAGUUGCAAAGGAAGCCGAGCCAAGCCCUCUACUGUCACAAGCCACCGUCGAGCCCCCUACCGCCACCGCUCUUUGUUGCCCGCCUGUCGCGUCGCACCUCUGCACGAGCCAUGCCUAUUAUGCUCGUCAUUCCGCCCAAUUGCGACCCUAGAUCUUUCCCUGAGCCCGUUCAAGCCCCCUCCACCAUCGCCGAAGCCGCAUGACCACCCGUCCAGCCGCCGGAAGCCCCACUCACCCACCUAGCAGCCACCUUGGUCGUUUCUAGCUCAGCCCAUCGCCUAGCUCACCCCCUCAACCCAACAAUAGAACUGAAGCCCUCAGCCAGUCGUGGUCCUUUGAGGGCCACUUUGGACCACUUCCGAGCCUCGUAAGGUGUCACUGCUAUAAAGUUUGUCGCCUGUCUCCGUGUUGCUGUUGUCGUGGACUCACCGAGUCGCAAAACUAGUGAGUUUACUCACUAAACUCUGCUUAUGGAGUUAAUUAUGCUUAAGGGUUGAUUAUUUUAGGCUAGUAUGGCUUAGGUGAUUAGUUAGAACGGAUUAGCAAUUUAAUUACUCGUCAUUGCAUGUUAGGUGGUUAGAUCAGCUUAAUUAGCAAUUAGAUAGGUUGAAUUAUUUAUCUAGAUAGGUUUGGAAAUUUUCCGAGCCCGUUUUGGUAUUUAAUUAGGCUUUUCUAGCCUAAGUCUCUAUUAAUGGUAUUUAUUUGUAUUUAUUUAAUUAAUUUUGGUAUUUAUUUAAUUAUUUAUUAUUUUUCGAAAAUUAUACCAGGAUAGCUGGUGAUUGGAAUUUCGUGCUGAUUGCAAUGGUAUGCUUGGUUUAUUUAAUUGAAUGCUAGAUUGUGCAAAUUGAGUGAAAAUUAUAAUUUUGGAUAUUUAUUCCAAAAUUGAGUAAUUUCGGUAUUUAAUUGGAAAAUACCAGGCGUCGGUUUACAGUGCCGAAAAUGUGUUUAUGGACUAUUAUAAUUAAUGGGAAUUCCUAAAAGAAAGAUAUUGAGAUUUUGGAUCGGGCCAACCAUGUACCCACACGCGAGUAUUUUAUUGGGUAUUUUCAAUGUGAUCAUUUUAUCAGCUUGAGUGAGCACAACUGAUAUAUAUAUCCAUUAUGAUCGUCUUAUCAGCUUGAGCGAGUAUGAUCAAUAUAUCUUUAUCAACUUGAGUGAGCACGAUCUAUAUUAUUUAUUAGUUUGAGGGAGCUAUCUCUCUAUAUAUCAGCUUGAGCGAGCUAAGACCAUAUAUUACAACUGUUGUGGGUAGUGGUGGUAUCAGAGGAUUGUUAUAUGGCAUUGAUUUGAUAGAUAGUACUAUUGGGUUGGAUUUGAGCUUAUUGACUAGUUGAUCGAUGGUUCGAUUUGAAUUGAGUGGAUUGGUUGAGUUCAUGAGCUAUACUAACCUGCAAGAAGGAACUAAGGCAAAGGUAUGUACUCUAUCUUGUGUGUGCAUAGGUAGCCUUUAGGCAUAUUUCCUUACUAGUUGGAGUUUAGGGGGUGAACUUGCUGAGACAUUGUAUUACCCCGUCGUGGGUUUAACUUUUCAGGUCCUUAGAUGGCGAAUCCCCCUAAGCGUUAUGGUCAGCCGAUGAGAGUCACUGGGCAAGUUUAUAAUUAUCCCGAUCCUGGAAGUUUUUGGGUCUAUGAGUUUGUAGUGACCAUUGUCUGGGUUGAAGAGCAUCCACAUCAUGUGUUCCCUCAUCGAUUCAGAGCUUGGUUUUGUUAUGGACCCAAUGGUUUUCAGCUAGGUCCCCUCCGGUGCUUUGAGAUCCCCGCUGGGAUAAUCGAUGACACUCUAGGGGAGAGUGCAGUUGACCCUCCAGAUGGUGUGGUAGAGGACCCGAUGCACCCGGUGCCCGUGGAGACUGAAGAAUCGGCGAAUGAGUCAAACUAGUUGGUUAUAAGACAGCUUUGUUUUGAGGACUAACCUUUUGUUGACUUGUGAAUAUAGAUUAGUAUUGUAUAUGACAUAGUUUGCUGUGCAUAAGGGCGUGUUGUGGUUUUCAAAAUUUUAGCUCUGCUUUUCUAUCCCAUCCUUGUGUUGUAUGAGGAUUUAUUUAAUCGCUUCCGCAUGCGCAUUAAAAGGAAUGGGUUGGCGAUGCGGCCUGGGACAUUGCAAUUUAAUCGACCACCAAGGGAUGGGCACACACUCGAGGAUCGAGGCGUGACACCAACAGUCUGCUAUCACAUGCACAUGACACUACACAUAGGCUUAUGCCACAAGGCGGACCAUGCCUCCUAAGACAAGUUCACAUUCCGAAUGCACUGAGAGCAACUAUUGGAGUAGAAUCCCCAGUCACUAGCUAGAGCACGAAACUACAACGGCACAGCCACCAAACUAAUUUUAAAAAUCACCACGCCAAAUACGACCCAGUGCAAAAGAAAACAUGUCCGCUGCUGCCGCUGCUCGAGAGCCGUCUCAUUUCAUCCAAACCCUUCCACUAGACGGAUGAUGACGAUAGCUAUUACCCUAACAACACGCGAGGGCGUACACAAAGAGAGAAAGCAAAUACAAACCAAAACACUCAAUCAAGAAGAGAAUAAAGCUAAAUGGUAGAGGCCUACCUUCAGCUAGGGUUUUUCCAAGCUCGGCGAGAGAGAGAGAGAGAGAGAAAGAGAGGGUCUCAUUCUUCGCUUGAUUUUGCAAUGGUCGGGUUUGUUGCCUCAUCAAUUUGGUACCUGAUGAAAUGAUAAUAUUCCCACCAGGAUCUAGUGACUUCUCUAAGCCCAAAGGACUUCUCGCGAAUCAAUUCGGAUAAUCGCUUCUCCAAAUCCCUCCAUUCAACAUUCGACAAAGAACUACAUUUAAUAGAAAGCAUCGAUAGUUGGACGGGAAGCUCUGAGAGACAUUCAAGAGGACGGAGAUCGAAAAGAGAGAGUUCCCGGAGAACGGUUAGUUUGGAAAGAUAUGGCAAUGAAGGACUUGGGAAAUCGACAUGCAAAGCUGUUAAGCUCAAGGGUGGUUCUGGUAUUUCUCGAAGGUUUUCGCAACACCGAACGCUGAGAUGUUGGAGAGAAGAGAGCUCCGAAAUGCUCUUUGGCAAGCCCCAAAUGCCUGUACUGUCUAAAUGAAGUUGAUUUAGCGAAACCAGCUCGCCUAUACUACUAGGUAGCCUUCUAGAUUUUUGCAGUCCGAUGCACUCAACACUUGGAGUUUUGUCGGCAUUCCAAUGGCACUAGGCAAUUCUGUGACAAAAGAUUUGUUAAGGUACAAGCUCCUCAAAUUUUGCAAAUUUCCAAUACUUUCUGGUAAUUUUGUAAUCGGUAUCCAUGAUAAAUUCAGCUCAAUCAACAAUGUCAACUUUCCAAUCGAGUUGGGGAUCUCUCUCAAUGAAUGGCAACCAAAUAGGUCAAGGAAAUACAAAGAUGCUAGAUUGCCUAUAGAGUUGGGUAUGCAAUCUAAUAAUCCAUAGCAAGUGACAUUAAGAGUCUCUAGCACCUUCAUAGAACCAAUGGAUUGAGGUAAUUCUUUAAUCAUUGUAUACGAUAAGUCCAGCUUAGUUAAUGACUCAGAAGAACUCAUGAAUUCAGGAAGCUGAGCAAGUUUAUCAUAACAUAGAAGCUCUCUCGAUUCUUCCAUUCCCCCUACUCUUGUUGGUAGCUUCUCUACUUUAAAACAAUUAUGGAUGUCCAAGGAGACAAGGGUCUUGAUAUACCAUAUAGAAGGAUGAAUUUCUUCUAGAUUCCGACAAUUUUCAAGAUUCAAGAUCUCUAAGCUUUUUAAAGCAGACAAAUUGGGAGUUUCUUUCAAAUUUUGACAAUACGAGAGGUCGAGAACUUUCAACUCAGUUGCCAUCUAAAAGAAAUAAAUGAAAUUUCAAUGAAAGUGGACAAUAGCAAUCUGUGAUUUUACACUAUUCUUCUUUUUUCAAAAGAAUCUUUAAAAUUCCUUUUAAAAAAAAUACCCAUACUCCACUACUCUUUCAUAGUUGUCUUAUUUAAUUUCAAAUGUUUUUUUUUCAAUAUUGUCGGGCUAUGCCACCAUAUUGAUUUUUUUAAGCAUAUCCAUUACAAAAAGAAUGUUAGGGACAUACAAGUGCCAAUCAUGUUUAUUUUCGGAUAAAAUUUCAAAAAGAAAAUAUAUUCAGUUUUUAAGAACUAUGGCGAUGUUAUUGAUUAGAUUUGUGCAAAUUUUAUUGUCAAAGAGACUCUCCAAUAGUAAGAAAUGGGUAGCUUAAUUAUAAAAAGCAAUUUCUUAAAGUGACUUCAAAGAAAAAUUUAAAGAAUGCUGUAUUUCAAAAAAAAUUAAUGCCAUCCGAAUGAUAGUUUUAUUACUCUCAUAACAUUAACAAUUUAUAUUUGUGUCAUACAGUGACUUCCAUAAUCAACAAUUAUAAUGAAUAAAUAAUUCAUGCAACAAGUCAAAGCACUUCAUAAAUCAUAUCCCCUACUCUGAGAUUAUAAUAACUUCCCGAAUUUUAGUAUUUAUGUACAGCACAAUUCACUAUGCAGGAGUUUUUUUUUUUCCUCCAUGAAAGAAGAUUGAUAUAGAGAAAUAACAAGAGUCCCUCAAAAGACGUACUUUUGUGUGGGAGAAAUUAACUUAGCCAUAAACCAUCUAGAUUAAAGUAAAUCAGAAUAGGUACAAAUAUGCAAUUGUAUUUUCAAUAAAUGUUAAUUAAUAUAGUUACUUUUUUUUUUUUUAGUAUUGUCUAAGGUUAAGCAUGACAGGUUGUUGAGUUUUAUCAAUUAAAAAUAAUUAAGGGGCAAAAGCCUAUGAAUAUUUAGGUAGCUAUAAAUUACUCUUAUAUUUAAAUGAAAAUCCUUAAUCCAUGGAACGUUAGCAAACGUUUCUAGGAGAAAUUGGUGUGAUUGGACCUUCGUUAAAAUGUUAUUAUUCUCAAGAGACAAAUCUUCUCAAUAUCUUACCUUGAGUGGAUCCCAUCCUCCCCAAUCCUCUGAAAUAGCACUCUGUGAUAGAUUAAGCACGGCUAAUUUCUUCGGAUUAAAGUUGACCAUUUGGAAAUAUGAGGGACAACAAUUCCAUUGAAGCCAUCUUAAUUGAGGAAGCAAGUUUUGGAAAUCUUUGAUAAAAUUUACAUUGCACACUCGAAGGAACCUCAACUUAGUGAGUUCAUUAAAUUGUUCACCUUGGUAGUUUUUCCCACAAACGUAACUGUUAAGAAAAAAAUUCCCAAUCUCACCAAGCCCAAGACAAAGGGCCUCAAUUUUACUAGUGCCCUGCAAUUACGAAACAUAGUGGAUGGAUCAUACCACAUAACAUGUUUCAUUUAGUUGUACACAUAUAUUAAGUUUUAGCUACACAAAUAUAUUUUAUAGGAAUGGAAACGAUUGAGGGAUUUAUCAUUUAUUAUGUGCAACGGGGUCAUUUCUGACAAAUAAGAAUAUUGGUUGAAUAAUAAUAUCAAAAUAUGAAUAAAUAAUAUUGAAAGACCAAUAAAAAAUAUCCAUCAUCAUAGAAAUAUUAUAUAACAUGCUUUAGAAAUAAAUUAAUAUUAAAAAAAACCGUCAUAGAUGAAAAAAAAGUCUUUGUUUAGAAGAACGUAUUACAUGACUACAUACUAUCAUAAUUGAAAAUUUUUAUGGAUACCCAUUGUGACUAAUAGAUAUCCACUACAGAGAACUAUUUAACAUGCUUUAUAAGUAAAUGAAUCUAAUAAAAUUGUCCAUCAUAGAAAGAAAAAAAUAUAUAUAUGUUUAGAAGGUUCUAUCACAUGACUACAUUUAUUUCAAUGGUGAGUAUAACGAAAUGUGUAAUAAGUGACGGCUGUUAUCAUAGAAAAGUUGUAUGAAUAUUAUUUAUAAGGAAAAAAAAUCGUAUUUCAUAAGUGAAUGAUGUAAAAUAAAUCGGUAAAAAAUUAUAAGACAUGAUAGCUCAUAUUUGACAAGUAAAUGAUAUAAUAUUACUGAAUGUGUACUAAAUAAAAUGCUCACUAAGAGUUGAACGUUGCAGAGAUAUCUAUUAUAACGCGGUAGUCAAAAUUUGACAAAGAAAUGUUAUCAGGACAUUCAUUUAAAAAUUACCCAUCAUCACAAAAAAGUAUGAAUAAAAACAGUAGCAAAUUCAUAGAAAGAAUUAUCUAUACAAUGAAAUGUCUACAGAAAAAAAAUAACAUAUGUUUAGAGUGUUAUUACACAGUUGCGAAUAUAUCAUAAAUAAAUAUGAGAGCCACGUUAGUAAAUUGAUGGUAUCAACUGGCGGUUGACAAUAAAAGACUUGAUUAUGCAAACUGUGUAAGAUGAAAAAGAAAAAGAGAGAAAACUACAUUGAGCAUAAAAGAAGGGAUAGGGGACUAAAUUGCCACAGAUAAUGAUGCAUAGGAGACUAAAUUCGUACUUAACCCAUCUUGGAAAAUUUAUGAACCAGGAUGUUUAAUCAUCACAAAUGGAUGGAGGCCUCGUUUAUCAUAAAAAAACAACUCAUAAGAAGUCGAAACUCAAUAAAAGAAAAAAGAAAAUAAGACCUCACAAGAAAUUGAAAGAAGAAUCCAAACAUCAAACGCGUGCAUCAAACAGACAUGUGAAAAAAGCAUGGCCCCCAACAAGUUAUUGAUGUCAAGUUUUCUCUGAAAGUGCCCUGUCAAAGAUUAUGUUUUUUAAUAGUUUUGUUGUUGCAUUGAAGUUACUAAAAGAAGAGUGUUCUCAUUACAUACUACCAGGUAAAGAUAUAUCAAUCAUCAAUAAUCAAGAAAUUGCUCCUCAAUUUUGUCCAGGUAAAAAGAGCAAUUAAUUGAAACAGCUCUUAACCUGGUAAAAGUGAAAAAAUUUGGAGACGAACAAGAAUAUUAUCUCAAACAAGAAAGAGAAGAAGGGCUCACAUUUACUGACUAAGAUGACUAGAGAGAGAUCUUACCUUGUUGUUGUCAAGAACAUCUAGGGCUUCCUCACGAAUCCAUAAUCUGCUGCGCUCUUGAGGCUCUUUUGGAUGUUCUAGACAAACAAUUUCUCUUCCAAGAUCUCUUAGUUGAUCAUGCUUCAUUAUAUUGCCAUUUUAUCAAUUUUAAUUAGGGACAUAAGGCUCAAUACUUCAAUUCCAUUCUCCGGGAAAAACCACAUGCAUCCCAUAAAUAAGUUACACUUUGUUUAGAUAAUCCAAUGCAAAAACAUGCUAUGUCCAAAAAUAUUUGCUUCGUCUCAUAGUCUAAUGAUUCAUAACUUAUCCUCAAUGUAUCUUGCACUUUCUUAUCAGGCACUUUCUUUAAUUUCUUCAAUGUAUCUUCCCAAAUUUUAAUUUGUUUUCCACGUAAGAAAGAACCUAUAACUUCAAGAGCUAAAGGAAGCCCUCCAGUAGUAGACACGAUAUCAUGAGAGACAACCUCAUAAUCACUAUGAGGAGCAUCCUGUCGAAAUGCAUGUCUAUUCAAUAAAAUCAAUGAUGGAUCCAAAGGCAACUUGUUGAGUUCGUACAUGUAGGUUGCCCUAGCCUCAUCAAGAAUACUCUUGUUUCUAGUGGUUAUGAUGACUAUACUUCCAGCUUUAAACCAAUUACCAUCUCCAGCCAAAGCAUUCAAGUGAGCCUUAUCAUCCAUAUCAUCAAGAAGAAUUAGGGUUUUCUUUCUUGUAAAUCGAGAUUUGAUGACAUCGAUUCCCUCAUCGACAUUAGACACCUCAUAUGACCUUCUUAGUAUAUCGCGAAUGAGUUGAUUUUGUGGCCAUUCAAUACCCUUGCGUAGAGAUGUUUCUCAAAUAUUUGCCACGAAACUAAGAUGUUCGAAAUGAUUGGAGAGAUUAUUGUACAAGACCCUUGCAAGAGUUGUCUUACCAAUGCCCCCCAUUCCAUAAAUUCCAAUGAUCCUUGUUUCAUUAAAUUUAGCAUCUAUGAAGCUCAUAAUUUCUUCUAUGGGACCAUCAAUUCCGACCAACUCUUUGGGAACAAUUAGUUGCAAAGGUCUUUUUAACUCACUUAAGACUUUUUCGACAACAAUUUCAACCAAUGCUCCUUCAUGCCUGUCAAGCAACACCGAAUUUUAGUAUAGGAUGGCAAUAUUUAUAUUAUUUUUCAGGUAAAAGUCUGAAUUUUAGUAUAGGAUGGCAAUAUUUAUAUUAUUUUUCAAGUAAAAGUCUAGUUAUGAGAAACUAAAUAAUGUUUUGGUGGAGAUACGUACCCAUCAUCAAUUUUCUCCGAUUCCCAUCCUUUUAAAGAACUGACUUCUUUGAGCGCUUCUUCCCAUUCCUUCACAACCAUUUCAUCCGAAUUCUCUUUAUGUGCAUUGAUGGCAUCUCCAAAUCCCUCUAUUAGAUGUCGCACUUGUGAGGGUUCCACUUUGUAAAAUAUGGGCAACACUACUUGCCCUCUGCUUCUCUUGCACUUCAAAAUCUGAACCAGCUCACGAAGGCACCAUUUGCUAGAAGCGUAGUCCUUAGAUAUAAUUGGGAUCGAGAUCUUAGACUACAUAAUACUGUAGAGAAGCUCCAAACCAAUCUCCUCACCAACAUGGAGCUCAUCAUCAUCUCCGAACACUCGAAUUCCUGCAUUAACAAAGCUAGUAUAGAGAUAAUCAAUGAAGCCUUUACGAGUGUCUUUCCCUCUAAAGCUCAAGAACACUUCAUGUCAUCUCCUUUCGGCUUUUUGGUUGUGCCUUCAUAAUCACCUAUAUGUGGAGAGGUAGAUGAGGAAGAUGCCCCAUAUAUCGGAUCGUCUGAAUAAGUAGGUUCUCUUCGUUUCAUCUCGAGAGGAUUGUACAUAUACAAAGGCAGUAGAAGAGAUUCACGAAGCAGAGCCUCAAAACAGGAGGAAUACGGAAUCCCAAAUAUAAGAAUUGCAGAAAUGUCUCUCGGAAUUCAUUCUGGAGCUACAUUCAAACAAAAACAAAGACUCUCAUACAACUCAUCAGAAUAAAUGGACAAUCGAAGCAGGAAAGAGAGAAAAGGAGAAGAGCAAGGAGUCACUGAUUACCUGCGGAGUGCUCACUGAUUCUCGGCCUUCGACGUUGGAUUUCUAGCACGGAACGCUCUUUAUCGUGCGCGCUUGAACGAAGCUGAGUUCUGGCCAACAAACGAUUGGAGACUCUUCAUGCUAAUUGAAACGUUGCGAUGCAUGCUGCACGGAAAGGUCAAUUAUUGCAGGAGUAACUUCCGCAGCACUAUCCGGAAGGUACGUCAUAAGAGGUGACUCGACUUGCUUUUUCUAUUAUAAACUAGAUUUUUCCAUGCCACAUCAUGCCUAAAGAUUAUCUAGCCAUCAUUCCCUCACCCAGGGCACUAUUAUUUUUGUCCUUAAAUUAAUGAUUUUUUACGUGUUAUAUUAAUUUUUUUUUUCAGUGUUACAUUCAGAAAUUCUUGGCCAACGAAUUCUCCAAAUAUUUAUUCAGUAAUACAUUUUUACUUUUUUAUUUCAUUUUUUGUCGAACAUUUUAUUUCAUGUUGGCAUUCUUCUUUUUCUUAGCUUUUUACCUAGGAUAUCAUUAACCAACUAUAUUACAGUAUCAUGACUUUGACCAAUAGUAUUGUUGUCAUCUCUACCCAUUCUCAGCCUUACACGUUUAAUUUCGGACGCACAAGGCUCUCCACUAGUCAAAAAGAGAGCGAUUUCUGCAGCAUUAUGCGGAGAUGCGUGGAUCCCAUUCAUGUCUUUUUUAUUUGACUUGUUUUUUUCUAUUUAAAAAGAAAAAAAAGAAAACUCAUCAACAAUACUCACAUGCUCCUGGUGUUAAUUUAUCGGUUUAUAUAGGAUUUUAUGAACAAAUGUCGGCACUUUGUUGACAUUCUGGAGUUAACUAAUGCCUAUUCCUUCAAUUGCGGUACAAUGUUGGCAAAUUGAUGAAGUUGUUGUCUUAUUUCGUGGUUGCGAAGGGGUGACACCGGCUUAAUUUUUUUGCCCCUUUCUCUGAUUAGUUGAUGUGGGUUAAGUGGAAACAGCUGCUGUCGAUUUGUUUUAGCAAUGUCUCAAGAAAGAGAUAGUGGCAAUUUUUAGCAGGAAAACAUUAACAAUAGUAUCUUACACCCUCUUUUUAGCAUCUAGUCGUUUUCGUGAUCAAAUUGCAUGAUAUUUGUGUCUAUAGAAAGAUAUAUGUACAUGUAUCAUAGUUUAAUAAAUAUUUGGACCAUUGCUGUGAGAAACCUUUCCAAUCGGUAAAAAUUUUCAAUGACUUUCUUCGAAAGUUACACCAACCUCAUUAUUAAAGUAAUGCUAUGCCACUUUCAUAGGAAACCCCCCGUCCCCUCCAAAAAGAAAAAGUCCACCCCCAAAAAAAGUAAGGCUAUGCCACUUUCAUAGGAAGCCCCCUUCCUUCUAACCACACACACAAGUGAAAGAUUCACAAGUGCUUUUUGAGCGUGGGUUAGAAAGAUCCAAUUAUGUGAAUCUCAUAAGAUCCCCAUAUUUUUUUAACAGUUGAGAUAAACUAACAUUAUUGUUUUACCGCAAAAUCAACAACACUAGCCUACAACCAAAGUCAUGCAUUUGAUUACUCUUCUUCUCUAUCUUGUGAGAAUUGCCUUGUACAUGAACAGAAACUCAGAAUAAAAGAAAGGGAAAAAAAGAAAGAAGGAUCGGGCCUUUGCUGGUCCAAUGCUAUUUGUGCAUAACAAUUUUGCCAUGUCUAUUUGUGCAUAACAAUUUUGCCAUGUCCCUUGUAGCCAUUCAAUGCAAAUAUAGUAAUGUCAUUUGUUCAUUUAACUUGCAUUGAGCUGUGCAAUCAAAACUUUGUCAGUGUGAAGCAUCAAAUUGAGGAUGUUAAAAUUGUCCUGUUCAAGGCUGCUAUAUCGUAGCAAAGGCUGGGAGACAAGGAAAAAUUUUAGGGUACACCCAUUAUAAUGUACAACAUUACGACGCAUCAAAGUAAUUAAGUACAAGAACAUCAUAAUAGCAUAGUAAAAUUGUUCAAUGAUAUAUUAUCGUCAUCAAGUGCAAAAGUGGUGUGAAAUAGAAGUGUGCUGCUAAAGAUUUUCAAAAGAUGAAUGGAAUCAACACUGAUGUAAGUUUCGCAAGAAAUAGAUGAGCUAAGGAAGACGCUGGACACGUGGUAUCCGUUACUUAGUGAAUUGCUUUUCUUUACUCACCCACUUUGAUGACCAAAAAUUAGCCUUGAUCCUGCUUUUUUAUCAAUAGGAAAAGUAAUAAUAAUAAUAAAGUGAGAGCAUUUCACUUCUUGUGGACCUCCAAUUUAUUGUGUUCUUGGUUGGGUUGGAAAUUGGAAUCUAAAAGAAAAUCAAAUAUAUUUGUACAUCUCUCUAAUGAAACAAAAAAUUGCUCCUUUUGACCUAAACAAUCAAAUAAUAAAUGAAAGAUAAAUGUUUUCUCAGAUAAAACGGAAUGUGACGCGAAAGUUAAAUGUAUUCUGAGUCUCUUGCUAAUUAUGUUUACAAAAAUUGAAUGUUUAUUUUAGAAACUAGAGUCAAAUGUUCAACUCUCAUGAAAACUGUUAGAGAUAUUUAUCUUAGGAUAUUAGAGAUAUUUAUCUUCCUGAUUGAUUAUAAUUAAUUUCUUAUCAAUUAUAAUUGAUUUGAUUUUGAUCUUGUAAUAUUUUAUUACCUCAUAUAGUUGUCUAAGACAGUCUAUAAAUAGGCUCUUGUAUCAUUAGUAUUACACGUACUGAAAUAUACAAAAAUUCAUUUUUCCACUCUAUUCUAUCAUGGCAUCAGAGAGAGGUUUUGUUUGAGAAAGUGGUCGCCAUUGUUGCAGCACCUUGAAAAAUCAUCAUCUAUUAUGGAGAGAAGCCGCACGCGCCACCACGCUCCGCUGCGCUACAGGACUAUUGACGACUACCAAUGACCACCGACGCCGUCGACUGUAGGUGGAAGUUUCAAAGACAAUCCUUAGAAUUUCUGACCAAAAACCACCAUAGACAAGUUCUAUAUUCUCCGGCGAGUCCAGAACAGCAAUGACCAUUGCUGGAAAAUGAACCACACACCCUCACGCGUCGCCCAAACCCUCUACGCGUGAGAUCCAUGUGUCAUGUCGCUGGAAAGUCAACCAAGCGCCCUCACCCACCAGUUAAACCCUCUACGCAUGAGAUACACGCGCCACAACUUUGCACGUGACCUAUGUGUGCAUUAGUGACGUCAUUGAUGGCGUCAUCCUCGCACGUGCUCCAUCCGUGCUCAAGCAAUAACAUCAUUGCCACGUCAUCGUUGUCGCUGACAGCCGUUGACUGACGUUGACCCGAUCAGUUCGUAGUGUUUUUUGACCGGUUUGACUUAAUUUAGACCGAUUCUCGGUGUUUUCCAACCGGUUUAGCGAAAUUCCAUUCGAUUAGCUCCUUUUUCUGACCGGUUCGUCCAGUUUCCGAUCGGUUCAUUUGAUUUUCCAACCGGUUCAGCCAGGUUCCAACUGGUUCUCAGGGUUUUUCGACCAGUUUAGCCAUUUUCCGACCAGUUCUUAGGGUUUUCCUACUGGUUCAGCCAUUUUCCAACCGGUUCUUGGGGUUUUCUGGCUGGUUCGGCUUGAUUCUGAUUGGUUCUUGGCAUUUCCAGAUCGGUUCUUGAGGUAUUCCGAUGUUCUCAGUCUAUUUUUCAGCCUUAUUUUCUUCAUAUCAGCUCCACAAGUAUCAGUUUUUUUCUCAAAUUCAUUAAAGAAUCUAUUGAGUUUACUAGUAUAUCGCCUAUCAUGGACAAGUUAGAAGUCUCAAAGCCCAUUCAGACCAUCUUAAAUGGAUCAAAUUAUAUUUUAUGGGCUCAAGAAAUGUCCAAUUUUCUAAGGGGACAUGAGCUUUGGCGUUAUGUAACUGGAGGUCUUCGCAAGCCUAGUCAGGCUUGCGCUCGCGAAGAGGAUAACGAUACAUUUGCUGAACGAUUGGAGGAGUGGGAGAGCAAGAAUCACUAUGGUUUCAAAAUACUUCCAUUCCAUCUAUCAAACUUCAGUUCGGUCAUCUAAAUAUAGCAAAGGAAACCUGGGAUCUUUUUGCUAGUCAUUAUUCCACAUCAGAUAUUACUCAUCAAUAUCAACUGUUAGGGAACUUACAUCACAUGCGUCAGGAGACAAGUCAGUCUAUUGAUGACUUUUUUUCUUCAAUGCAUGUUAUAUGGGACUAGCUCGCUUUAUCUAAACCCACAUGGGAUUCGUUUGUUGAUGCUCAUAAGUUUGCUGAAUAUCGUGAUUGUAUGCAAGUUAUGCAAUUUCUGAUGGCUCUAAAUGAUGAGUAUGAACCUGUGUGAGCCUUACUUCUGCAUCGGGAUCCUUUACAUCAUCUUGAGGUAGUUAUUUCAGAGCUAUUAGUUGAGGAAACUCACCUUGCGACUUUCAAUGCACAACAUGCUACUCCACUGUUUUCCACUCCUACAAAUGCAGUGCUUGCCACUAUUGGCUCAUCCUCAUGGCGCAAAUCUUAUUGUAUGCACUAUCGUCGACUUGGUCAUCAUGCAUCAAACCAUUAUCAAUUACAAUCCAAUCAACCUAUAGGAACAAACAACAUAUCCCGUUUUAGAGGUUUGGUUGGACGCGGCUCAUCCACUGCUGCUUCUGUCAUAGAGGAUUCCUCUAGUAGUUCGUCUAUCAUGCUAUCUUUAGAUGAUCUUUGAUCCACGGUUUGGUCCAUUCUUCAAGAAACUAGUACUUCUAGUCCUUUUGUUAUGUUGGUCACUCCAGGUACUCCUGAUUCAUGGUUCUUUGUUUCUACGUGUCGUAAUCACAUGACUUCCCAUUCCAAUUUAUUUAAGUCAAAAUCAUAUAAUUCACAAAGACCUACUAUUCACACAGUUGAUAACUCUCAAAUCAUAGUUAGUCAUACAGGGAACGUUUCAAUGCCCACCUUGUCCUUACCCGAUACUUUUAUGGUUCCCAAACUCUCUUUAAACUUAGUAUAUGUGGGUUAGUUAUGUAAGCUUGGUUUUGACAUUCAUUUCUCUUCGAAUGGUUGUCAUGUGCCGGAUCCAUAAACGGGACAAACAAUUGGGACAGGCUCAUAAAGUGGGACGGUUGUUUGAGCUUGUUUCAUUAAAGCUUCCUAACUCCUACACUAGUUGUGCUACCACAGUUUCAUCUUAAACUUGGUAUUCUCGUUUAGGUCAUCAUUCUUUUUCUCGUUUAAGUCAUUUGCUCUCAAGUGGUCAACUAGGUUCCAUUGACAAUAAAAACCUUUGAUUGUCUACCUUGUAAGUUAGGAAAACAUCAUGCUUUAUCGUUCAAUAUUAGUGAAUCUAUCUCUUAUGCUCCCUUUGAUCUAAUUCAUUCGGAUAUUUGGGAACCAUCUCCUACUCCCACUAUGGAAGACUCUCGUUAUUUUGUGAUUUUUGUUGAUGAUUAUUCACGUUAUACAUGGCUUUAUCUCAUGAAAAAUCUAUCUGAAUGUACCCAUAUCUAUGGUAAUUUUGUUGCAAUGAUCAAAACACAAUUUUCUCGAGAUAUCAAGGUCUUUCGUACCGAUAAUGCCAUGGAAUAUAAGGACAGAGAGUUUCUUAAAAUUCUUUCUCAUAACGGUACUAUUAUUCAUCGUUCUUGUCCAGGAACUUCCCAACAAAAUAGUCGAGCAGAGCAUAAACACAGGCAUAUUUUAGAUAUUGUACGCACUCUUCUAAUCUCAGCAUCUUGUCCAGAACAAUUUUAGGGGGAGGCCUGUCUUAUUGCUGUCUACACUAUUAAUCGUAUUCUAUCACCUACUAUAGGUAACAUUUCUUCAUACGAGCACUUAUAUGAUAGUAUUCCUAAUUAUAGUCUACUUCGAGUUUUUGGUAGUGCAUGUUUUGUGCAUCUUCUUCCAAAUGAGCGCAUGAAGUUAGAACCUCAUGCUCGUUUCUGUUGUUUCCUUGGAUAUGGCAUUGAGCAUAAAAGGGUAUUUAUGUUGGGACCCUAUCUCCAAUCGACUUCGUGUGUCUCAUCAUUUUACCUUAUGGGAACAUAAAAUGUUCUCAUCUUUACAUUUUUUUGCAUCUUCUCUCAUUGUUCCAAAUGUUCGUUUCUUCACAAAUCCUUCUGUCGAAUUGUUCCUUGAUGAUGACACUCCUACAUCUUCCUCUUUAGAAUUGCCCUCUCCAAAUCUUGAUGCAGGUAUCUCUAGAAAUCCCACUUCAGCAACUCCUGAUAUAUCGGUGCCAUUCGUGGAUCCACCUUUGGAAGUUCCUUCUUCUUCUGUUCGUUGCUCCACCCAUGUAAGUCAACCUUAUGUUCGGCUUCGUGAUUUUCACUAUUAUUCCACAAUUGCCUCUUUUCACAAGCCUCGCACUAUAGAGAAGCUUGUACUAAUCCUCUUCUCUUCAACCGCCGGAUUGUUCCAGACCCAUUCUGCCCAAUAUGCUGCCAAUAUGUUCCUGAAACAAGAGAACAUUUGCUUAUCCAGUGUCCAUGGACGAAAACUACAUGGUCACACUCACAGCUUGAUUUAGCUUCCUCUACAACCUCAGUUUCCAGUAUUACACGGUGGCUAAUUGAAAGUGUAAUUUUACCUGAUCCUUCUCCCCGACUCGAGGUAGUUGCCACCAUCUUUUGGCAGAUCUGGAAGAAAAGAAACCAUUUUGUUUUUCGGAAUCACCGUCUGAAUCCCUCCAUGGUAGUGGAAUUGGCUCUAGCUCAAAUCUCAAUAUAUCAGUCUUCUGGUGCAGCACUCCAUCGCUCAAGUUCAAACUCUGGCCUUGACACUGUUCAACCCGAUCAGCUUUGGCGACCUCCGGCAAAGGGCGUCCUGAAAUGCAAUAUCGACGGGAGUUAUCAAGAGGGCACUUCGGAAGGCUCUAUGGCCAGUAUUUGCAGAGAUGAUCGAGGUAAAAUCACUGACAUUUUCUCUAGAUAUUUUCCAGCACACUCACCUUUCGAAUCGGAGCUCCAGGCGCUGAAUCUGUCCCUACAACAUCUAUAUCACCGAGGACUCCAAAACACCCCCAUCGAUCUUCAUACAGACUGUCUUCAACUUGUUGAAAUUGCAAAUGGUCUUCGCCUGCCGCCAUGGGAGCAGAGGCCAGUGAUCGACGAAACCCUAUUUUGGCUCUCCAACUUUCCUUUCCUCUCUUUGUGGCACUGCCGCCGAUCGGCUAACCUAGUAGCCGACUGGGCAAAGCCCAGUUAGCUCACCCGGCCCAAAAACUAUCUCUUUCCUUUUCUCUUCUGCUGGAUCUGCUGGAUCUUUUGUUUGCGGAUGCUUUAGCUGCAGGAUGUAAUCUUCCUCUUUAAUUAAUAUAUAAGUGUGUUUAUGUCAAAAAAAAAAAACAGCGAGGAGAAGAAGGAACAGAGCAUAGAGUAACCACUUAAUUGUGAUAUUUUAAUUUGUGUUUUUUCUAGGAAAAGGCCUCUGGAUAAAUAGAUAAAGGAAACUAGAUGCAUGCUAAUGGACGCAACUAUUCGAUAAUAACAUUUGAAGUCAAAUGUCGGAAAGCUGUAAUGACUUAAACAACAAUAAACUAACUGAUAUAUAACAAUCUAAAGACAAGAUAAUUACUAGACAAUUUAAAACUCUGUCACAAAGUAAAAUAAACGAACGAAAAAUUAUUCAUACACAACAAAAAUGAAAUCAUUUGCAUUCGGUGAACUUGUCUUGUGACUUACGCGGUGUGUGUAAUUGAUACACAAUUUUACUCAGUUUUUGAAAUUUAUGAAGUAGCUUAUAUUGACAUUUGUAUGUUUUUGGAGAUUUUGAGGUGCUCGAUUUCAAAUAAAUUGAAAAGUAUGUCACGGUCAUCAGCAAGGAUCAUGGCUAUUUAGGCGCUUGCCAUCUUCAAAUCAAGAUGGUGGUCGCUUUCUUUUUUUCUUUUUUUGUCUAUCCUACUCUAACUCUCAAUUCACUAUCGAACUUUUGUCAUUCCUCUUUACAGGGUGUGGGAGUUGAAACCCACACCUAAAGGCCGAAGUUUGUCAUCGCCUCUCCAACUCCCUUGAGAAAAUAGGGAUUUGAACCCUAGAUGAUGGUUGCUUUGGAGGCCACCAUUGUGUUAAAUCGACUAUCCUUGUAAUAUUUUGCCAAGGGAAUGUCGAAAAAGGAAUUGAACUCGACAAAUUUGACGAAAAAGGGUUCUUUGUUGAUUUUGGGUGGGAAUGUAAACAACUGUGAAGGUAAAGGGAGUUUAAAGUGUAGGUGCCGAAAAUUGAAGAUUACGAGACUGAUAAAAGGUACCAGAAUUUUAAAAUUAUGUAGGAUAAUUAGCAGGGAUUUAAAGAUGAAAGUAAAUGUGCAUAAGAACGAGAGUUCUAUUGAUGAUUGAUCCAAGGUGCUAAAAGCUAAAACGCGGCCUUUUAUAUUCCAUCGCCAGCAGUUCUCUGCCAAUGAUGAUACCGAUGUUGCUAGUCCUCGCUCCUAAUGCACAUGAGUCAGUGACAAGAAAGUUAUUCAUAUAGUAUAGUUUUUUUCCUAAUGGUUAUCUUAAUAAUUGGCAGACGGGCUUGAUGGAUACCUCCCUCAAGAACCCCAAAAAAAAAAAAAAACACUACGCGAUGAAAGCGGGACAAAAGUAAAGUGAGCCAGUCAUUUUUUUCUCAACUUAACAUUAUAACAUGAGCUUGUCCUAAAUUAAUCCAGAAAAAAAGGCUUUAUUUUACAAUAAUCACCAGAAAUUUCCUCAGCUUUUCUUCAGAUGACAAUGGACAAAGCAUUGGAAAUUUGUCCGAGUCGGCUGAUGCUCAUUGACAGAAUGAAUCCAAGAAAGAAUAGUGGAUAAAAGAGACGAACAUUGAAAUUUUCUGAUGCAACUUGGGCAUAUAAAGACAUUGCUUCAUUUCAACUGCCCUUUUAUCCUGGUAUACCAGGCAUUUAUUAAUAACCUAUUCAAUGAUUUCUCUGUUAUAGUGUAGGUCUUUUUCUAUCUUCUUGGCCUUUUAUUUCACUAUUGCCAUCAUUGACUUCUUGACACGUGUACCAUACACACUAUUAUACAAUCCACUAGAUCCUUGGACGCACAAAUUUAGGAUUUUUUAAGGUUUGUGCCCAAUCCACUAGAUCCUUUGACACGGGCUUGAUGGAUACCUCCCUCAAGAACCCCCAAAAAAAAAAACACUCCGCGAUGAAAGCGGGACAAAAGUAAAGUGAGCCAGUCAUUUUUUUCUCAACUUAACAUUAUAACAUGAGCUUGUCCUAAAUUAAUCCAGAAAAAAAAGGCUUUAUUUUACAAUAAUCACCAGAAAUUUCCUCAGCUUUUCUUCAGAUGACAAUGGACAAGCAUUGGAAAUUUGUCCGAGUCGGCUGAUGCUCAUUGACAGAUUGAUCCAGAAAGAAUAGUGGAUAAAGAGACGACAUUGAAAUUUUCUGAUGCAACUUGGGCAUAUAAGACAUUGCUUCAUUUCAACUGCCCUUUUNNNNNNNNNNNNNNNNNNNNNNNNNNNNNNNNNNNNNNNNNNNNNNNNNNNNNNNNNNNNNNNNNNNNNNNNNNNNNNNNNNNNNNNNNNNNNNNNNNNNNNNNNNNNNNNNNNNNNNNNNNNNNNNNNNNNNNNNNNNNNNNNNNNNNNNNNNNNNNNNNNNNNNNNNNNNNNNNNNNNNNNNNNNNNNNNNNNNNNNNNNNNNNNNNNNNNNNNNNNNNNNNNNNNNNNNNNNNNNNNNNNNNNNNNNNNNNNNNNNNNNNNNNNNNNNNNNNNNNNNNNNNNNNNNNNNNNNNNNNNNNNNNNNNNNNNNNNNNNNNNNNNNNNNNNNNNNNNNNNNNNNNNNNNNNNNNNNNNNNNNNNNNNNNNNNNNNNNNNNNNNNNNNNNNNAGAUGAAAAACUCCAUCGGCAAUCGAUUUUUUACGUGCCAGCACAAGGAAUAUAGGAUCAGACCAAAUAUGGCAGAUUAGUCAUAUGAUCGGAUUUUCCAUGAAUCAAUGAUAAAAGGUACAGAUCCCCCCCCCCCCCCCCCCCCCCCCACAAAAAAAACUAUCGAAGUGAAUCAUAUUAUUUGUGCAUAAAUAUCUUUAAACAGCACGAUGGUUUGCACAACGAAUCACUUUUUGCAUACAUUAUAACCUUGACCUCUCCUAUUAAAAAAGGGAGAUAUGCUCAUUCAAGUCAAGCUGCUUGAGAUUGAGUAGCAUAUUAAUAAUUAAUCGAAAUUGUAUAAACUCCUUGCUUGCUGAAUUUGAGGAGAAUCUAUGCCCCUCUCAAGUCUAUGUUUGAUUCAACCAAAAAACAAAGGUCUAUGUUCAAUCUUUGGCUUUUUCUUUAUCUACUAUUCACGCCCUUUUCAAAUCCAUGCAAUUUCUACCUAGAAGGUUUGAAAUGUCUACACUUUCUACAAUGGUAGAAGGAGAUGUUGAAACUCCAAGGUGUGGACUAGUCUUUAUGAAAUUUUAGGGUGAAAAAUGUUGAAUCUCGAAACCACAGGCGUAAAGAGUUGAUUUUAAAAUUUGAUGUUCUAAAGUAUUAUUAUUAUUAUUAUUAUUAUAGAGGACAGGGGUCAUCUCAAAUAUCAAACUAUCACUAGAAUGUGAUCUCAUGAAUACCUGACAUAACAAUUGCUCUCAUAUUCCAUAUGAGGAAAGCUCAAGACAAUUCACAUAUUGGCUUGCAUCUAAAAAUGUCUAAAGCUUCUGGAGCUCCUAGUCUCCAAGCCCUCCGGGCUCAAUUAGUUUGUCGCAGUCUCGUGCGACAAUUGAGUAGCAUCAUGAAAUCUAUAUACUUUAUAGGUAUCUCAAUCCUUUGAGCCCUGAGAUGUCAGAAGGUUCCCAACAAGCUGUCACUAUCAAGUUCCUUAAAUCUUCAAAUUUCCAAGCAUCUAGGAACUCUAACAACUUGCAUCCUUGAAUACACAAACUUUUGCAGGAUGAGAAUACCUCUAGGCUUUCAAUAUCAUCUUGCUCUUCACAGUGGUUGAUGUUCAGUAUUAUCAGGGUUUUCAAGCAUGAUAGAUCCAAUAAUCUUCCAAGGUAAGUGCAACCACAAAUAUCUAAUAUUACCAAAAAAAAUACAGUCCGUCAACGCCACAUUUCAACCAGACUCUUACAGUUUGCAACAUGAAAUCUCCCAAAUUCUUCAAACUAGAAGGUUAUCUUUCAAUGGACGUGCAAUUAGAGAUAUCCAAUCUUACAAAUAAUCGACCUCUCAAGGCCAUGAAUUUCAACUAGAUUCCCGCAAUCUGCAGCAUAGAAUGCUUUAGACAUUUUGAACUUGAAAGGUCUAUUUAUCUUUCAAUGGAUUGAAAUGUCUGGUCAUCUUUUAAUUGGACAUGCAUUUAAAGACAUAAAACCUUCUCAAAGAUUCUAAUUAAUCAAUCAAGGCCUCAAACUUCAGCUAGAUUCUUGCAGUUUGCAGCGUGCAAUUUGAAGUCUUUAAACUGGAGAAGUCUAGAAAUCUUUUAAAGAAGUGCACCCAGAGAGAUUCGAUCUUGCCAAUAAAUACCAUGAAUUUCAACUAGAUUUCAGCAAUUUGCAGCAUGGAAUAUUUCAAUGGACGUGCAUCCAGAGAGAGAUAGAAUGUUUCCAGAUAUUCUAAAUGGGUCAAAGCCUCAAACUUCGACUAAAUUCACGCAAUUGGCAGCAUAUGAUUCUCUUCGAUUCUUUUUAAACUUGAAAGGACAAUUGAUUGAAUGGACAUGGAACCAGAGAUAUUCAAAUUUACAAGACUCUUGCCAUUGGCAACACAUGAUAGCCCCAGAUGUUUCGAACUCGAAAGGUCCUGCAAAUCUCAACUAGAUUCUCGCGACUCACAGCAAUUUGUUUCCCGUGGAAUCUUCAAAGUUGAAGGAUCCACUGACCCUUUGCCUCUGGAGAACCUGGGAACGCCUAAUCAACGUUUUCUCUUAACUAAUGCCAAAACUUCGUGGGUCUGGUAGCUGCCAGCCCCAACCACUGGGACCACUCCAUCUCCACCACCACCUGGAAGUGACGCUUCAUAUCUUUGUGUAACACUGCUAAUCCUGUUCAUGACUUCAUUACACAUGAAAUCAUUAUUUCUACUAGAUAUAGGUGGACUAUUGAUAGAUCGUGACAUGUUGCUACCCGUCAUAAAGUGAAUAAACUUGUGAAAAUGCUCCUUCUCAUAAUUCCAGCAUGAUUCAUAUAGAUAACAUUGCUCAAACUUGUAAUAGAUCAUAAGUUUCUUUGGAAUAAACAGAUGGUUCGGCUCUAUUUACUGUUCUGGUAUCAUGAAAACCAAGAUUAUUAGAAAAAUUAGAACGUGGCAGAAGACAAAAACUUGCAUGCUGGAAAGUCGAAAUAGAGUAUCAGUAGAACAAAUCCUCAUUGGCAUAGCUAAAAAGUCCCACCAUUGGAAUGACAGAGCAGAAGUGCAAAUUACAUAGUGACAGGAAGAAUGGUGCGAAUCUUGUUAGGAUCAAACUCAACACAAGCAGUCAAUCAAGAACUUGAAAUGACUAUGAAACUAUGAACGCACUCAUGCAGCCCUGCAGCAUAUCAAAUUCACACCUGAUGAUUAGCCUGAAAGAACCUGACGAAUUUGGGGGAUCCAGAGCGCCACGAGUCCUGAAUGACCGCUUUCCUUUGCCUAUGUGUUUUUGUACUUCACCUCCAGAAGCUUCCUUAAUAAUUGUCAAUUAUUAAAUUACUUCGAUCAAUCAUAUGAGAAGAGACAAAAGAUAAAAUUACAGUUGCUAUAUCCCAGAACAAUAAAAAUCCCAAUCCAAUAAAUCAGGAAAAGUAAACAAAUUCAGCUUGUUCAAGUAUAGGUUUCCGCCAUCAUUUUCGUCAAAACCUCCGCACGACCACUGUAAACCACCACCUCCAUUAGUCAAUACUACCAAUACACUCCGGCUUCGACCACCAACAGUCUGCCAUCACAUGCACACGGCACUGCACAUAGGCUUACGCCACCAGGCGGACCAUGCCUCCAAAGGCAAGUUUAUCAUAACAUAGAAGCUCCCUCGGAGAAGAAUCCCCAACCACGAGCCAGAGAACGAAACUGGAACGGCACAGCCACCGAACUAAUUUUAAAAAUCACCACGCCAAACACGACCCAGCGCAAGACAAAACCCGCCUCCCGCCGCCGCUCGAGAGCCGUCUCUUUACAUCUAAAUCCUUCCACUAGACGGACGACGACGACAACUACUACCCCAACAACACGCGAGGGCGUACACAAGAGAGAAAGCAAAUAACGAACCGAAACACUCAAUCAAGAAGAGACUAAAGCUAAGUGGGAGCGGCCUACCUUCAGCUAGAGUUUUUACAAGCUCAGAGAGAGAGAGAGAGAGAGGGGGUCUCCUUCUUCGCUUGAUUUUGCAAUGGUCGGGUUCGUUGCCUCAUCAAAGAGAGGGUCUCCUUCUUCGCUUGAUUUUGCAAUGGUCGGGUUCGGUCGCCGAAAUUUAUACGGCCAAGAGAGAGAGAGAGAGAGAGGGUCUCCUUCUUCGCUUGAUGUUGCGACUGCUGGAGUGAUUGCGCUCGUUGCCUCAUCAAAGAGAGGGUCUCCUUCUUCGCUUAAUAUUGCGACUGAUGGAGUGCCUGAGCUCGUUGUAAGGGGCCACUCAUCAAGCCGCCAUUUGGUGCCUUUUCUUACCCUGAUGGCGGGAUAGUCGCGAUCGCGAAUCAACAGGGGUCUCUCCAGAGCUGUUAAGCUAAAGAACGGUUCCGGUACUUCUUGAAGGUUUUGGCAAUUCCGAACGUUCAGAAGCCGGAGAGAAGAGAGCUUCGAAAUACCUUCUGCUGGCAAGCUCCGAAUGCCCGACCAUUCUAAAUAAAGCUCAUUUAGUGAAACCAGCUCGCCUAUGCUACUAGGCAGUCCUUCCAGAUGUCCGCAAUAUGAUGCAUUCAACCGGUAGAGUUUCGCCAGCUUUCCAAUGGCACUAGGCAAUUCUGUCAUAGGAGUUGCUUCAAUGUUUAAUUCCCUCAAAUUUUGCAAAUUCCCAAUACUUUCUGGUAAUUUUGUAAUCCCUGUCACUGAUAAAUCUAGCUCAACCAACGAUUGCAACUUUCCAAUUGAGUCGGGGAUCUCUCUCAACGAAGAGUUAAUUAUAUAAAGUACAGAUAGAGAUGCUAGAUUGCCUAUGGAGUUAGGUAUGUGAUCUAAUGAUUCACAGCAAACGAUAUCAAGAGUCUCUAGUGCCUCCAUAAAACCAAUGAAUUCGGGUAAUUCUUUAAUAGAUGUUCCAGAUAAGUAUAGCUCAGUUAAUGACUCAAAGGAACCAAUGGAUUCAGGAAGCUGAGCAGGUUUAUCGUAACAUAGAAGCUCCCUCGAUUCUUCCAUUCUCCCUACUCUUGCCGGUAGCUUCUUUAGUUCAAAACAUCGACAAACGUUCAAAUGGACAAGGGUCUUGAUAUAGCAUAUAGAAGGAUGAAUUUCUUUUAGAUCGUAACAACUUUCAAGAUUCAAAAUCUCCAAGCUUUUGAAAGCAGACAAGUCGGGAGUUCUUCUCAAAUUGGCACAAUACGAGAGGUCGAGAACUUUCAACUUGGUUGCCAUCUGAAAUAAAUAAAGGAAACUUCAGUGAAAGUGGACAAUAGCAAUGUGUGAUUUUCCACUAUUCUUUUUUUUUUUAAAUCUUUAAAAUUCCUAAAAAAAUACCCAUACUCCACUACUCUUUCAUAGUUGUCUUAUUUAAUUUUAAAUGUUUUUUUUUCAACGGUGCCGGGGUACACAAUCAUAUUGAUUUUUUUUAAGCAUAUCCAUCGCAAAAAGAAUGUUUGGGAUGCACAAGUGCCAACCAUGUUUAUUUUCAAAUAAAAUUUCAAAAAGAAAAUAUAUUCAGUUUUUAAGAGCUGUGGUGAUGCCGUUGAUUAGACGUGCGCAAAAUUUAUUAUCAAAGAGACACUCCAAUAGUAAGAAAUGUAUAGUUUAAUUAUGAAAAGCAAUUUCUUGAAGUGACUUCAAAUUUUUUUUUUUUAAGGAUGUUGUAUUCCAAAAAAAUUUAAUGCCAUCAGAAGGAUGUUUUAUUCCUAUCAUAACAUUAUAAUUUAUAUUUGCAUCAUAUAGUGACUUCCAUAAUCAACAAUUAUAAUGAAUAAAUAAUUCAUGCAACAAGUCAGAGCAAAUAGAUUAUAUCCAUUACUCUGAGAUUAAAAUGAAUUUAGAGUUUUAGUAUUUAUGUACAACACAAGUCACUAUGUGGGAGUGUUUUUUUUUCCCUCCAUCGCUCAAAAGACAACAUGGGGAGAAAUUAGCUUGAAGCCAUAAACCGGCUAGAUUAACGAAAAUCAAAAUAGGCAAAAAUAUGUAAUUAUAUUUUAAAUCAAUUUUAAUUAAUAUAAUUAAUUUUUUUGGUAUUUUCUAUAGUUACACAUGACGGGUUGUUGAGUUUUAUCAAUUAAAGAUAUUAAGGGGCGGAGGCUUCGAAAUACUUAGGAGCCUAUAAACUCCUCUUAUAUUUAGACGAAAAUCCUAAAUCCGAGGAAUGAUAUCAAACCUUUCUAGGAGAAGCUGGUGCGAUUGGACCUCUAUUGUUAAAAAAUGUUAUUAUUCACAAGAGAUAUAUCUUAUCAAUGUUUUACCUUGAGUGGACCCCAUCCUCCCCAAUCCUCUGAAAUGUUACUCGAUGAUAGGUCAAGCACGGCUAAUUUCUUCGGAUGAAAGUUGACUACUUCAAAAUCCAAGGUACAACCCCUCCAUUGAAGCCAUCUUAAUUGAGCAAGUGAGUUUUGGAAAUCUCCAGUGAAUUUUAUAUCCUUCACUAGAAGGAACCUCAAGUUGGUGAGUUUGUCAAAUUGUUCACCUCGAUAGCUUUUAUGGUUACAGCUUCUCCAGCCAUAAUCGCCUUCAUGCCUACUCCAGUCAAAGCUUAGCGGGCUAUAAUGGCCAAGAAGAAGGGCCUCAAUCUCACAAGUGCCCUACAAUUACAAAACAUUAUGGACCAUAAGUUUUAAUUGAUGAAAUGAUCUAUGUAUAAAAACAGAUGGACUAACUUCAAUUUGAUAUCAUAUUGUUAUGGUGUUGACUUCUUAUUUUCAACUUGGUGAAAUAACAAGUUGUCACUACAUAUGAUUUAUCUAAUUCAUGUAAAAAUGGGAAGCUCAAGAAGGUGCUUUGGAACUUUUCCUCUCCCAGUUAUGCUUUUCGCAAAUUUACACCUUUUGAAUUACCAAAAAUUGCAUCCUUUCAAAAUUAUAAUAAAAGGCAUCUAUUUAUUUACAAACUACUUCAAAUAUAUCUGUCAAAAUUCAUGCCCCUUAUAUGUGAAACACACAACCCUAACUUGUAUCAUUCAUAUGCAAAACACAUGACCCUUACAGUCCAAGUACAUCUAUCAAACUUGUCAUCAAAACAUGUAUCAAAAUUAGAUAUUCUAAAUUGUAGAAUCCCCCUAUUAUUCUGGUGUGCCUUGUUUACAAUUCUCAAUAGCAAAAUAAAAAUGAGAAUGUCACCUCAAAAUGUACGCAUGCGUUUUUUAUUCCUUUCUUAUCUUCUCAUGCGUUUCUUAUAAUGAGCAUUUUUAAUUAUACAUGGAAAAAAGAUCGAUUAUAUAUCAAACGUUAUGUAGAUAAUCUUUACUCCUCUUAUUAUUAGUACAUAUGUUUGAUGCAACAUUUUCAUUAUGUUGUUAAUUUUGCCACAGUGAAAUAGCAAUAACUAAUGAGAUCUUGCAUCAAGAAUGAUCGGACAUGAAGAUUGAUUAAACUGCAUACUUAGAGAACUCAAGUCUUUUACAUUUUUCUUUCAUUGUAACCAAAUAUUUAAGGAACUCCAAUUUAUUUUGUCUUAGGUGAUGAAUUGCUCAGUGAGCACAAAUCAUGAGUUGUAAGAUGGAUUUGUUUGAUGGCUUGAAUAUUUCCUUCAAACUUUUAUUCUUUUGGAUGAGAUACUCCUUAUUUAGAAAUUUCUUGUAUAUUAUCGUAUUUUCAUCAAUAACUUCACAGAUACCCCUCUUUUUUUUCCAGUUCUAAGCAAUUUCUAUUUAGUUCAUUACGUUUUCAUUUGUACGAAAAUAUCCUCGUUGAUAUACUGCAGUAGCACAGUUUUUACUAAUCUCGCUACUUAAUUAUAUUGUGCAUUCUCAAUGUUCAUAUUCAGUGUUUUUCAAUCAAAGAUUUGCACAUGCUCGUUUGAUGUUUGCACAAAUCAUCCAUAUGUUGUAAUUGCUUUUAGUUGCAUACCUUAUUAACUUUCAUCUUAAUAAUGAAAUUAAUCACGACACAAAAUUUAAAACCAUAAUUAUUUUUGGGAUAAGUGCAUUUAAAGUUCUAAAACUGUUCAUAAAAGUGUGAUUUAGUCCAAUUAAGUCCUAAAACUUGUCAAAUUGGUUUAAUCAAGUCCUUUCUUUAAAUGCAUUUUUUCAAAAUUUUAAGACUCGAUUACACUUUGUGACAAGUUUCAGGACUUGAUUACUCUUUCCAAAUAAAUUUUAGGACUUGAUUACACUUUUUGAAAGUUUAAAGUUUUAGGAUUCGAAUCCAUUUUUAUGAUAAGUUUUAGGAUUUAGUUGCAUUUUUUUAAAAUUUCAGGUCUCAAUUGCACUUUCAUGACAGUUUUUAGGACUUUCAUUGUACUUAUCUCAUUAUAUAUAUCACAACUAUUGGAAUGGCCAUUGCUUUGACUUGACCCACUUUUUAUGGAUAUUAUGCAUAUUAAUCUCAAUAAUAAGAUUGGAUAUAUCACUUUUCCAAUAUUCCUCCAUGAAAUUUAUCCUACAAUAGUAACCUUCACAUUUAGAUCUAAUAAGAAAAAAAAAAUUCUGACUUCAGUUUUACUUCAAAGUAAUAAGAGCUAUCUCUAAUUGUGCAUCUACUCAUAUUUGAAUGUAAGGAUGUUAUUAAUUUUUAUUAUGUGAAUAUAUUGUUCUAAAACUUAAGUGAUGAUAAAAAAAUUUCAAAAAUAUAGAGUCGACAUUAUUUCUUAUCCUAAUAAGAUGAUUGAAUUAAAGAAAGUACACACCCACACACACGCACACGUAUUAUGUUAACAUUACUACUCUGUAAGCAUAUGGGUGUGAAUUUUUUUUUAGUUCUGUCACUAAAUAUCAUUCAUUUAUAAAUUUCAAACAAAGUUGUAAAUGUAAGGUUAUUUUAUUGCUAAAAUGUAACCUUUAACGAUUCUCUAUAUAAAAAGUCAUAUAUAUUGUUUAAAUAUUUAAACCAAGUUUAAUCAAUAUAAUGUGAACAUUGUUUAGUUUUGAUAGUUCUUCCACAUUAGAAAGUUCAUAAUUAAGCGUUGCCCAACAACUUAUAAAUGUCAUGUUUUCUCCGAAAGUGCUCUGUCCAACACUAUGGUUUUGCAAUUUUAUUGUUGCAUUGAUGUUUUGAAAGGAGAGUGUCCUCAACAAAAUUUUAGGAGUAUAUAUAUCUUUUUUUCAUUUUGACAAAAACAAAAGAGAUGAAAAAGAAAGAAAGAUAUAUAUCCUAUAUCAACUACCAAGAAACUGCUGCUCAAUUAUGUCUUAAAAUAAGGCAAGACAAACAAUUGACCGGACAAGCUCUUCGGCUAAUGGCUGCCCCAAUUUUGGCGCAUCAAUUUUCAUCUCUAAUAAGAAAGAGAAGAUGGACUCAACAUUCACUAACUAUAAGAUAAAUAGAGGAAACUCUUACCUUGUUGCUCUCAAGCACAUCUUCAGCUUCCUCAUUAGUCCAUAUCCGACUACAUUUUCCAACCUUCUUUGGAUGUUCUAAACGAACAAUUUCCCUUCCAAGAUCUCUCAGUUGAUCAUGCAUCAUUAGCUUGCCAUUUUUGUCAAUUUUAAUUAGGGACAUAAGACUUAAUACUUCAAUCCCUUUCCCCGAGUAAAAUUUACAGGCAUCCCACAUAUAAGUCGGAUAUUGUUUAGAAAUUCCAAUGAAAAAACAUGCAAUAUCCAAAAAAAUCUGUUGCUCUUCAUAAUCUAAUGCGUCGUAACUUAUCUUCAACCUCUCUUGCACUUCCUUAGCAGGAAUUUUCUUCAAUUUCUCUGAUGUAUCUUUCCAUGUUGACUUUGUCUUUCCACAUAAGUAUGAGCCUAUAACUUCAAGUGCUAAAGGAAGGCCCCCAGUAAUAGAUACGAUAUCAUGAGAGAUAUGCUUAUAAUCACUCGGAGGAAAAUCAUUUCGAAAUGCAUGUCUACUAAACAAAAUCAAUGAUUGAUUUGGAGGCAACUGUUCAAGUUCAUAUAAGUGGCUAGCCCUAACCUUGUCAAGAAUACUCUUGUUUCUAGUUGUAAUAAUGACUAUACUUCCCACUUUAAACCAACUACCGUCUCCGACCAAAGCAUCCAAGUGAGUAUUAUCAUCCAUAUCAUCAAGAAGAGCGAGGACUUUCUUACUUUUACAUCGAGAUUUGAGUACACGGAUUCCGUCAUCAACAUUAGACACCUCCCACAAUUCUCCUAUCACAUCAGAAAUGAGCUGCUUUUGUAGGCAUUCAAUACCCUUGCGUUGAGAUGUUUCUCGAAUAUUUGCCACAAAGCUACAUUUCUCAAAAUCACUUAAUAGCUUGUUGUAUAACACCUUUGCAAGAGUUGUUUUACCGAUGCCGCCCAUUCCAUAAAUUCCAAUGAUCCGUGUACCAUUGAAAUUAGCAUCUAUCUUGCUCAUAAUCUGUUCCACAGGAUGAUAAGUUCCCACCAACUGUUCGGGAACACUUAGGUCGAAAAGUCUUUUUAACUCACCCAUAACUCUUAUGCCAACCGUUUUCACUAAUGUUGCUUCUUGCCUAUCAAAUAAUAAUACAAAAUUUCAAUAUAUGAUAGCAAUGUUUAUAUGUUUUUUUCAAGUAAGAUAUUUAUGAGAAACUUAACAAUGUUUUGGCGGACAAUAACGUACCCAUUAGCUAUUUUCUCCGAUUCCCAUCCUUUUAAUAAACUAACUUCGUUGAGCGCUUCUUCCCAUUCCUUCACAACCAUUUGACCCAAAUUGUUUUUAUGUGCAUUGAUGGCAUCUCCAAAUCUCCCCUUGAGAUGUCGGACUUGUGAGGGUUCCACUUUGUAAAAUAUGGGCAACACCACUUGCUCUCCGCUUUUCCUGCACUUCAACAUCUGAGCCAGCUCUUGAAGGCACCAUUUGCUGGAAGCGUAAUCCUCAGAUAUAAUCGGAAUCGAAAUCUUAGACUGCAUGAUAUUGUAGAGAAGCUCCGGACCAAUCUCCUUACCAACACGAAGCUCAUCGUUGUCUCUAUACACACGAAUUCCUGCAUCAACAAGGCUAGUAUAGAGAUGAUCAGUGAAGCCUUUGCGAGUGUCUUCCCCUCUAAAGCUCAAGAACACUUCGUAGUCACUUCCUUUCAGCCUUUUGGUUCCACCAUUAUCACCUACAUGUGGAGAGGUCGACGACGAAGACGCUCUGUAUGGCAGAUCUUCUGAAUGAGGAGGCUCUUUUCUGAUCAUCUCGAGAUAGAUGGAGCGGAGCCUCAAAAGAAGAGGAGUAUGGAAUCCUAGAUGUAGGAAUUGCAGAAAUGUCUCUCAGGGCUCAAUUGAGAGCUACAUUCAAACAUAAACAAAAGCUCUCAUACAAGUCAUCAAAAGAAAAUGGAAAUAAAAACAAGAAAGAGAGAAGAGGAGAAGAGCAAGGAGUCACCGAUUACCUGAGGAGUGCUUAAACAACACAAUCCACACUCUGCUGUGAUCUCCACCGAUUCUCACCUUCGACGUUGGAUUACCCACACGCAACCGUCUUUUAUAUGCGUGCUUGAAUGAUGCUGAGUUCUGGCCAUCCAACGGUCCAGGACUCUUUAUGCUAAUUGAACGGCUGCGAUGCAUGCUGCAGGGAAAGGAGAAUUAUUGCAGGCGUAAUUUCCGUAGCACCGCGCAGAAGGUGCGUGGAAUGAGGGACGCUUUUUAUUCGAAUAGGGAAAGUUUAUUAUUUUCAAUCAGCAAUCUGAUUUUCAUUAAGGAGAUUGCUCUAAAAUAGUAAAUCACUAGAUAAAUCUCUCCCAAAAACAAUUUUAUCAAAUUAAAUUUCUCCAUACCACAUCAUAUAUCUAAAAAUUAUGUAGCCAUCACUCCUCACUCACGGCACUUUUAUCCCUCUCCUUAUAUUAAUAAUUUUUUAUGCUCUAUAUCCUUUUAGAGUCACAUUUAGAAAUUCUUGGCCAAUGAAUUCUCCACAAUUGAAUAUUUAUUUAGUCAUCCAUUUUUACUUUCUUUUUUCCAUUUUUUGCUUUUUUCGAUGGUCAAGUGGAAACAGAUGCUAUUGAUUUGUUUUAGCAAUGUCUAGAGAAAGAUAUGGUGGCAAUUUUUACUAGGAAAACAUUAAUAGGAGUCUUUUACACUCUUUUUUAUCAUCUAGUCAUUUUGAAAAUGUUAAGCUGAUUUAUCUUCAUGACAAAGUUGCAUGAUAUGUGUGUGUAUAUAGAGAAAUAUAUUUAUACAUGUAUCAUAGCUUAACAAAUAUUGUACCAUUACCAUGGGAAACAUUUUCAAUGUCUUUCUUGGAGAGUUCCUACAACCCCUUUAUCAAAGUAAAUGCUAUGCCACUUUCAUAGGAAACUCCUAAUUUUUCAAUAUCUUUCUUUGAGAGUUCCUACAACCCUUUUAUCAAAGUAAAUGCUAUGCCACUUUCAUAAGAAACUCCAAAAUUUUCAAUGUCUUUUCAAUGUCUUUCCUAGAGAGUUUCUACAACUCCUUUAUCAAAGUAAAUGUUAUACCACUUUCAUAGGAAACUCCUCAGGAAACUCAUCUCUCUCUCUCUCUCUCUCUCUCUCUCUCUCUCUCUCUCUCUCUGAAAAAUUGACAAGUGCCUUUUGAGUAUGCAUUUAGAAAUAUCCAAUUACGUGAAUCUCAUAAGGUCUCCACAUUUUUUAACUAUUUGUCAGUGUAAACCGUUGGAUUGACAUUGAUAAAAUUGUUGUGUUUAAAGCCACUAGAUCAUAUUGAAGUGCGAAAGAUGAGGAAAAAUUUUAUGGUAUACCUAUUGUAAUGUUACAACAUUACGACACAUAGGGUAGUUAAGUACGAAAACAUCAUAAUAGCACAUUCUAUGACGAUCAAGUGCAAAGUGGUGUGAAACAAAAGUGUGCAACUGAAGAUUUUCUAAAGAUGAAUGGAAUCAACAAUGAUGGAAGUUUCGCAGGAAAAAGAUGAGCCGAGUAUGGCAUGGGUCCGUUGCCUUGUGACUUACUUUUUUUCACUCACCCACUUUGAUGACCAAAAAGGAGCCUGAGUCCUGCUUUGUUAUCAACAGGAGAAGAGAAACAAAAAAGUGAGAGCAUUUACACUUCUUGUGGACCUCCAGAUGAUUGUGUUACUCGGUCAGUUGGAAAUUGGAAUCUAAAAGAAAAAUCAAAUAUAUUUGUACAUCUCUCUAAUAUAAAAAAUUUAUUCUUUUUGACCCAAAUGAUCAAAUAAUAAUUGAGAGAUAUAUGAUUUGUCAAAUAAUACAAAUGGUGAUACGAAAGUUAAAUGUAUUUUAGGUCUCAUACUAAUUACGUUCACAAAAAUUGUAGAUUCAUUUUAGAAAUUAUAUUCAUAUGUUUAAAUAUCAUGAAAACAAGUUUGAGUUGGAGCCAUUUGCACACAUUCCAAAAGCCUAAACUUAAUCAAUUUAUUAAAUUUGCAGCGUAUUUGAUGUGCUUUCAAGUGGCGAUCCUCUAUGAUGAUGCAUAUGAGUUUCAAAAAGUUAUCAUAUGUUCACUCUCGUUGCAAUUGCACCCACUGAAACUAAAAUUGAUUUGAGAAAAUUCUUCGAAUUUUAUCCUCACUAUCAUUUGAAUGAUUUAGAGAAUUUUCAAAUGAGAAUACAGAAAAUCAUUUUCACUGUUUGGCUUCAAGAAUAAAAUACAUGUUUUCUCUUUUCACCAUUCUCGUUCUCGUCUAAAAAAGCGGCUCCCCACAGGAUGCUUUUCUUUAACUCCCUUCUUUUCAUAUUCAUUCACUUUGGACACAAAUUUAUCAUUUAUUGGAGCAUUUCCAUGACUUUUUUUAAAGUUAAAGCUUUUUCCAAUGCUAAAGGGAUUAUUCUUUUCAAUCUAUUGCUCCAGGAAGUUUCAAAGAAAUUUCCUGUUGAAGAUUUUCUUCUCAUUGUUCUUUAUUCUUUUCAAUUCAUAGCUCCAAGAAGCUUCAAAGAAAUUUUCUAUUCAAGAUUUUCUUUUCAUUGUUUUUUUUCCUUUCAAUCCAUAGCUCUAGGAAGCUUCAAAGAAAUUUCCUGCUCAAAAUUUUCUUUUCUUAUUCUUUUCAAUCCAUAGCUCUAGCAAGCUUCAGAGAAAUUUCCUAUGCAAGUUUUUCUUUUCAUUGUCCUUUAUAAUGUAAGACAAUUUAGUUAAGAAAUUCUAAUGCUAUUAAAUAAUAAUGAUGGGUAUAUUAAUUCCCUUUAAUUUUCCAAGAAGACAAACAAUUGGUUAUGUGACUUCAGUAAUUUCCCACUUGCUAACAUGAUCAUCCAAAAAGGAUUGGUUAAAAGAUUCUUUUUGAUUAGUGAGAUAAUUUUUUUUUCAUUGCUCUUAUUAAUAGACACAAAUAGUAUAUGAAGAGACUAAAGUCUCACAAUAUAGAAAUAUGAUAUACUGGGAACAGGAUAUAUUAUUGAAAAUAAAACCAAACUUGUAUUGUUUAGUUCCAAUUUCUAUAGAAAAGUUUCCUACCAAUCAUGUUUUCGCAAAAAAGAUUCCAAUGAACUACUAACAGUUUUUUUUUUAAAAACAAAAUGGGCCAUAAGUGAACUUGAUUUUCUAGUUACUUCUAAUGAAAAUGUUAUCAAUUAAAAAUACUAUUCAUGAAAAUUACUUUCAAAAAUAAUUAUUUGUAAAAUCAUACUUAUUAUCUAGGGUCAUGCAAGGGCUAGAACCUUUAUGGUCAUGGUGGCGGGGCUCACCUCCAUCGCGAGUACUGACUUUCAUAAAAAGAGACGCAACCAUAGAGUUCAUGACCUCCGUUGAUUCGCUACACAGUCAUCUAUAGUCACAGGAAGCCACGACCUUCAUGGCCGGACGUCUCUCCCUUAAUGAAAAUCAAUACACUUGAUGGAGAUGAGCCUCGUUAUCAAAAUCAUGGAGGUCGUUGCCCUCAGUGCGAUCAUAGGAAAAAAGGUGUGAUUUUAUAAAUUAUGAUUGAUAAGAUAUCCUUGUGCUCAAAAGCCCUUUUCGCUUUUUGCCACUAAAUGGUUUCUGAAUCAACAAUCUUUUUAAAAGUCCAUUUUCUCGUCUCAGCAAUUUGUCCUUUUCUUCUUUAAGUACUAAGAAAAAGGAACGUCAUUGUGGUGGGCAAAGUUCAGUCAAUGGAAUCUACACUGUUCAAUCGGUGCUAUCAAAUUUGUGUCACAACUCACCAGCGAUAGCGACGACCUAAGAAAUCCUUUAUCUUUGUGUCUAAGGAAUCAACAUGAAGUGAUUAAAUUUUUAAACACAAUUCAUUGUACUUACGUGAUAAAACUUACGAAUUUAAAAUCGUGCAAAUUCAAAUGUUGCUUAGAAUAUUGUCAAUCAUAUUUGUUUGAGCAAAUGACAUUAUAAGGAGUAUCUAGUUCGGUAUGUUUAUGAUGAAAAGGCCCAUUUGUUAUUGAUAAGCCCACCUAAGAUGCCAGACGUGGCAUAAUUAGGUGAACCCAAUACAUGUUGUAGGGAUUAAAACAAGAGAUGGCAUUUUCGGACUAAGGCGUAUCAAUAAUAUUGCCUUAAAGAUAGUGAUUUAUUCAAUAGGAUUCAUGAUCCUAUUCAUUCGAAUCCAAUGGAAAUCUUAACCCUAGACACGAUGCCUAGACUCUAAUUUUGCUCACUUAGUCCAUGUGGGAAGCAAAGGAUGAAUACGAUUCAAGCCUUGAAGAGACCGUCAAUAUAGAGAAAGCAUGAGAGAGACGAGGAGGAGAAGAAGGAACAUAGGAUAGAGAGAAAUGUUGAUGAUCUCUUUGUUCCCAUCUUUUCUAGAAGACGCUCCGGGAUAACUAGGCAAAGGAAACGACACAUGUAAUAUUGGACGCAUAUAUUCAUUGAUGAUAUUUGAAAUCUAAGUUAGAUGAAUGUUAAGUUUUAAAUAGUAAUAAUCUAACUAAUGGAUAAGAAUUAAAAGACAAGAUAACUAGUGAGCAAUUUUGGCCUUGAAGUUUUAAUUUAUUCAAUGUGGUCCUUGAACUUUUAAUUUGUUCAAUGUAGUUUCUGAACUUUUAAUACAUAUUUAAUACAUACCUUGAAUUGUAUGAAAAUGUUCAAUAUAGUCAUUCCAUUAAUUUAAGAUCAGAGGCUACAUUGAAUAUUACCAUAUAAUUUAUGAACUAUAUUGAAUAUGUACCAAAAGUUCAUGGACCAUAUUGCACAUUGGGCUAAAGUUCAUGGGCUCUAUUGAACAUAUUAAAAGUUCAUGAACCAAAUUGUAUAUUGGGCUAAAGUUUAUGGAUUGUUUAUCAUUUUCCCUAAAAGAAACCCAAAACAAUCUCUCACUAUUUUCUAAGGAGGAAUUAUUACAAGGCAAACAUUGACUUCCAAUACAAUGUAUGAACCAUAUGGAUAUGUGGCAAAGCAAAAUGUAGUAGUUGAUUGGAGAAACCUUGAUCUUAGAAUUACUAAUUUCGGCUUCAUUUGUUUCAUGAAAAAUAAAUAAUUUGGAGAAUAUUUUUUCUUAAACUAGUUACUUAUAUCAUUUUACAGAAAUGAAUGAACGAAUUUGCCUUUAUUGUCAAUGAAAUUGUUUAGACAUAAGUUGUUGUCGAUAAUGAAAAUAUAUUUCAGUAACUAAUUGUUUCAAGAAAUACAAGCAAUCAUUUUUAAGAAAAUGUUGUCCAAAAAUCAUUCAUUUUUUGGGCAAUGUGUUAUAAAUCAUGCACUUACCCCAACUUAGUGAGAGCUUUAGAGCAUAACCAUAGCUCAUAAGAAGUAGCCCCGACUUCCACAUUAGCAAAGGUAAAUCCCAUCAAGAGCAUUCGUAACCACCAUUUUCGAUCCACCGUUUGUUAAGAUUAGUUUGAUCCUACUUUAUGGCAAAAAAAAACAAUGCACAUUUUGAGAUGGAAUUUUUCCUAUUAAAAAUUGUGGCCCUACUAGUUGCAAAGUAACGUGCACUGAAAAUAUAACCUCAAUGCUAACAUUUCGAUACAUCACAAUUGACUAAAAAAAUUUCAAACUCGUAUGUAAUACAAAUGUAGAGUAGGCUACAUCCAGUGGAUCCUUAAAUAUUGGUACUAAUCACAUCUCCUUCAAAGCUCUUGAUUACUCUACACGAGUUGAUCUCUUAGUAAGAGGAUUGCCAGAAAAAUUGUCCAAAAAGUCUUAAACUUAUUAUAUGACAGCCAUUUCAACCUUAGACUUACAAAUAUGUAUAUACCAUACGGUUUUAACUUUGUCGUUAACACUGAUUUAGAACCUAUAAUUAUAGUGUUAGGAGAAAGAUUAGCUAAUGACCAUGUACUAUCUUGCUUAAUAAAUUUUAUAUCAAUUAGGGGUGAGUGGUUCCAUGAUUAUUUCAUCUUUUACUUGGAACCUCCAACCUGUUGGAACUAAUUCCUCAAUUUUUUUAACCUAGAACCUACCUUACAUACCUUGGAGCCUUAAACCUGUCCUCUCACAAGUUUUAGGAUAAAUUUCACGAUCUAUCUAGGUUCUACCUUUAUUCUUACUUAAAUGACUUUAGCCAAUUGUCAUGUCUAAUGACCGCUAUUUACUAUUACAAUAUACAAAUCACAACUCAUAUCUAGAUACACGAAGAAUAUGAAAUAUUAACUAUGCAAAAGUCUCACUCAUAGAUAUCAUUGGAAAUGGAAGCUUAUACUAGUUAUUUUAGAUCACACAAUUAUCAUCGGACACAAUGGAAUACUGUAUGAUUUUGCAAAGAACAAGAAAAACAAAAAGACUUGUUCACAUGUAGGUUCAGUAAUGAAGCGAUGGCUAAAGUCAUACUUAACAACUAAUGAAUAAUGUCUAUUGUGUAAAGCACGCCCCAUAUGCUUUCAAAACAAUUUAAGAUUAGAUAUGAAUCUACACAAUUUGAUUCAAACAUUUUUACCAAAUAAGAUUGAAAAAAAGAUUUUAGGCAUUUCAAACUCAAAUUCCGGCCUAGGUUUAGUCUAAACUAACAUCAGAUGUUCGAAAUCAGGAAAGCAAACUCAAAUAGAUCAUGUUCUAUCUCCACAAAGGAUUCAAAGUCUUAGUCACUCCUAACUAGAAACAGAACCUUUCGGAACAGAAGCAUCAUUUGAUUAGCAAGGCCAAAUGAAACCGUGGCUGGGCGAUUAACUUCAGGAUGUAGCUUCAAAGAUUGCUAGUGAUUGAAACUAGUGCCGAUGAAGAGUUUUGAGCGAGAUCCAAACAACUCGAGACUUGUAGCCCAAAAAAAAAAAAGACGACGACGAAGACAACAAGACGGAGGAAAAUAGGGUAACAUUCUAUGCUCUUGUGAAUCGGAGAUGAACAAUAACUGAUGGCAAGCGGCAUCCGACAACAAUGAAGAGACUCUCAAAGAAGUUUUUCAAACUCUCCUAUCAUAGGAACUCUCUCUCUCUCUCUCUCUCUCUCUCUCUCUCAUGCAUGCGUGCGUAAACCGCCUUUUAUAACAUUAUCACAAAAUCGUUCACUGAGAAAAAGCCAAGGAGAAGGAGUCACCCUCAGAGAAGAGGGUUUCUUUUCAUUCGCUACAUCCAAGCCUCACCAUGUUUGGAUAUGCCAAUUCCUGGGUUUAGUAGGUUCUUGAUCCAAUUCUUUGAUUCUUAAUUCCCGGUCCAGUUUGACUUGAUUCGAUUCCUAUCCAGGAAUCAAACCACAUAAUGCAAGUUCAAAAUAAUAUGGAACUAGGAAUCAGACGAAGUCUCCCUAGAACCUAGAAUUAGAACGGUUCCCUCCGGUUCUCCAAUUCCUUAUUCUACUCUAAAAUCAUGCUCAUCCAUAAUCUCAACAUCCAUUCCCAUUGUCCAAAUGUGAGCAUCUGGUCUAGACUUAGCAUCAUUAUAAUUAUUUGGAUCAUCUACCAAAUCAAUCCCAUAAAUGGUCCAAAGACUUUUCUUAUUCUUUUCAUUAUCAAAUGCUAAACAUAUUUCGCCAACUAAAUUUGCUUAAUAAAUUGAUGUUGCAAAUUCCUCCUAAGUGAUUUGAUGCUUAGAGAACUUGAAUUCUAACAUUAGAAAACUGUCAAGUUUUAAAUAACAAUAAAGUCAUAGAUAAGAGCUAAAAGACAGAUAAUUACUCAAUAAUCCAAAACUCUCAGUCACACCAAUAUUUUUUAAAAGAAUUUGAAAUAUUGACAUUUGAUCUUAAUUGCCAAAUACUGAGGAGAUUACCCAAAAAAAUCCCAUACCUACCGUAUGGUGGUUAGUUUAGUAGUAAACUUUUCAAUUACAUCAAUAUUGUCCUAAAUCUUUUGAUGAUUUUACAUUGUAGUCAUUUCAACCAAUUUUAAAAAGGCAUUGCUGAUGUGAUGAGUCAAUGUUUGUUAUCCUAUAUGGUGUGACUGAUACUGACAUGAACAAUUUUAAAAAAUAUAUUUUUUUUUUCCUUUUUUUCUUUUUUCUUUUUUUCUUUUUGCUAGUGACUAGUAUUGGGCAAUGGCCAACAAGGGCUAGAACAAGGGCCACGGCCCUCAUUAGAUGUCAACGAUGGCUUGCAAGCCCUCACUUAUUGGCCAAUGAGAAUUAUUAGGUCCUUGCUGGCCACAACCCCCAAAAAAAAAGUAAAGAGAAAAAAUAAAUCAAAACAAAAAAAAAUAUAAAUUAUAAAAAUUAUCCACGUUAGCACCAGUUGUCCUAGGCCAUGCCAUAUAAGGCGAUCCACAACACUUCAACGAUUUUUAGUCAAAAUUAGCCAAAGUACUAUAUUGGUAAAUUGUCAAAAAGUUUAAAACUAAAUCGGCACAAUUAAAAAAUAUGAUUGAAUUCACAUCCAUAUAAUAGGUUUGGGAUUUUUUUUAGUAAUUUUCCCAAAAUACGUAAGGAUGCAUCUGUAUUGUUUGCCAUAAAUCUAAUAAAAAUUAUUUUAGUUUUGAAAUUUUUUAAGUAAUUAAUGGUAACGUUUAUAUGUUUAAGAAAAUUGAAGUGGUCAAUAUUAAGGUAAUAAAAAAGUACGUCAAAUAGAUGGGUCAAGUCGGACUAAAAAAAUGAUCCGACCCAAAUUGAUCUAUUUAAACUAUUUUUACCCAUUUCCAUCAAUAAAAAUAUAGGGAUAUAUACUCGACCCAACUCAUAUUCAAUUCAACCCAUUUUGCAGAAAUACUUAUAUAUUUAAUUUAGUCUAGAAAAACUCAUACUUAAACAAAGGUGAGAGCACGAAGUGAGCGAGCAUGAGAUUGAAUGAGAAUGCAAGAGUAAAGAGACAAUCAUAAGGUGAAUUAGGUCUAAAUAAGUAAUGCACUUAUUUAACACCCAUAUUUUUUUAGACCUUACCAUUCUAGACCGAUUUAUGACCUAUUACUAAAUAUAAGUAAUCAAUAUAACAACUCAGCAAUCAAAUAUUGGUUUUUUUUUUGGUCGAAACAAUCAAAUAUUGGUUAAAAAAUAAGUCUAUGACCUAUUUUGACAAGUCCUGUUAACAAUUUGGAUCAUGACUAUUUAAGCGCUUACCACCAUCAAAUCAAGAUGUUGAUCACUUUGGAGAUAACAAUUUCCCCCAUACCUUUCUUUAUUGGGUUCUUUCUCUCCCCCUUGGUUACAAGAAAUUUUAUCUGGCCCAACGCCAUAACUUUUAUUUCGGUCUAUAUUCACGUUGAGACUACAUUUAUCAUGGCGUAAUAACUAAGGACACAAUGAUUUAUAUUUUCUAAUCAAAUAAGUCUUCUUCUUCAUGUGUCUAAAUAAUCAACAAAAGUAAACUAGAAAUUUCACACCAUCGCAUGUGAUGUUCGCAUUGUAAUUCCUUCCAAUCACAUGGGCCCAACCAUUGGACUCGACCUCCAAGGCCAAACCCAAACGAAAAAUUGUUGGACGGACCUAGGUACCAGGACUAAGAAAAAAAAAGCAACAUGGCCCAUCACCUACGGGGCCAUGCCUGGGCAUGGGCCGAACAAAAAUAUAUAUUUGUUGGGCCUAGAUAGGCCCAUGGGCCUGACCGAGCCUAGGCACAAAGUAGGACAUGGCCCGCCAUCUAAUGGGCCAUGCCUUGGCACGUGCCCAAGCGUGCUUGGUCAGCACGGCCCACUAUUGAUCUCUAUCCACGAGAAAGGAAGUUGCACCCACAUAAAUUUAUUCAUUUAGGACAAAUUUCACUUUGCAUUUGCAUUUCAUUAACACAAUACUGAUUAGCAAAAAUGCUGGAACAUGUAACACUCUAGACAAAAAGACGAUGAUGACAUAUCAAAGCAAAUAUUCCAUAAAUUUGAUAACUCAAAAUUUGCAAUAUGUACAGUUAAUGUGGAUCGUUCCAAGGGCUGUGAUAAUCCAAAGUCAAAAAUAUCUUUAUAAAGAAGAAAACUUCAACUUCAUACUACGACUUCCCUCAACAACUUCACCGGCAGCAACUAAUCUGGAGACAUCGGCAGCCUCGCUGGGGACUCCUUGUUCGACUCCCGGUCCCGAUUGCCCUCAAAGUUGACUGCAUAGCUCUUCGGAUCAUACCCGAACUCUGACACCACAACGCAGCCCUACCUCCGACACCUCUCAAUCCGAGCGAUGAGGCUCCGGAGCUUACGCCGGAUGUCUGGCAAUGAGAGCUCCCAAGUCGUGGAGCAGAGCCACGAGUAGGGUGACCAAGCCGCUUUGUGGCCAUUGCUGCAACUGUCGCGGUCCGAGGAGGCAGCCUUAUGGUAGGCGACAACGUCUCAAAAGCAAUAGAAGAGGAGAUGCGGGGAGGACAAUUUGAGCUUGCGAUUGAACAGCAUUUGAGCGUGUGUAGAGAGAGAGAGAGGAUGAGGUGGCGGGUUUUUAUAGGGUGGACGUGGGAUAAGGAUGGGGACAAAGUUGGGGGACGCGGUGUUUUGAGUCAAUCCCUCUGUUGAAAUUUUGUCUUACUUUCCCAAACUUCAAUUUUGAGCAAUUUAGUAAUUAAGUUAAAGUGAAGAGAUCACGAAAUAAUUACAUGCGACAUUAUUUUCACCUCUUAAAUGAUUAAAUCUGACCUAUUGCCAUUGAAAAGACAAAAUCGCCUUUAUUCAUUUGAUUGCAAUUUAUAAGUGGUGGCCCCCAAAUUUUGCUUUCCUUUUAAUUGGCUUUGCUGUUUUUAUGUAGGAUUUUGUUACCAUAAUGACAAAGUUUCCAUGUAUAUGAAGGGUGUGAUUUUUUUAAUUGUUAGAUUUUAUUUCCAUAAAAAUUAGUUUUGUCGAAAAGAGAAAUACAAAAAAAAAAAAAAAAUCUAUUUCUUGGUUAAAUUUAGCAUAGUCAUUUGUUAUAAAUUUCCGCUCUUGAUGCGUAAUUUACCAUCAAAUCAUGUCUUAUCAAUUUAUAUAUAUAAAAAAAAAUCUUUGAUAAUUUUCCAAAAAUAAUAUCACAAUUACAUUCUCCAACAUGAAACUUGUCAGGCCAACAUAUAAUUCACAAAAUAAAUCAGACUAAAGAUGCGUUUGAUAACUAUUCCAUUCUCAAGAAUAAUUUCUAUUUUGAAUUUAUUUUUCAAUUGCUUGGACAAGUUUCUAACUAGAAGAACGUGUACAUUUGAUAUGACCCUAAUAAUUUCUAUUUUCAUUUUUUUAAUUUAAUUAUAAAAAUAUCAAUAGAGAGUUAAGUUAACAAUUCAUGUUUGAAUAAAAAUUUAUUGAGCCUAGGCUAGUCCAUGAGGACCCAUGGGCCUGACCCGGCCUAGGCACAAAAUGGACACGGCCAACCACCUUAAUAGGCCAUGCCGUGGCCUGGGCCCAAGCAUGCUGUACUCAGGUCAGUACGACGCACUACCAAUCUCUAUCCACAAGAAAAGAAGAUGCAUCCGUGUUAUCCGUAAAGUAAAUCCCAUUCAUCCAAAAUUAAAAUUCGCAUCCCGUUCAUCCAAAACUAAAAUUCGCUUCUUGUCAGUUCCCGUUUCAAUUUUUUUUUUUUUUUUUUGGUUGAAGGUUCGCAUUUCGAUGAGGUAACGCCAAUCAGCGAAAAAGCUCGACCGGGGAUCAACAAUCCUCACAAAAAGCGAAAGCGAAAUGGAGAUGACGACAUAUUGAAGCAGAUCUUCCACAAAUUUUAGAUCUGGAAGCUCUACAAAUAUGUACAAGCGCUACGGAUUGCUCCACGGACUGUUGAUAUAGUAGCCCAACUUGUCGAUCCAAAUCAAUAAAAAGAUGCUUUUUUCCAGAGGAAAGGACUUCAACUCCAAGCUACGAGUUCACCGGCAACAACCGAUCCAGAGACAGCGGCAGCCUCGCCGAGAAGUUCCUUGCUGGGAACUCCUCGUCCCACUCCCUGCUCCGGUCGUCCUCAAAGUUGAGCGCGUAGCUCAUCGGGUCGUACCCGAUCUCCGAGGAGGCCGCCGCAGCCGCCGCCGGGUGACCUGGCCUCCACCGGCACCUCCCGAUCCGAGCGAUGAGGCUGCGGCACCUAUACCGGAUCUCCGGCAGCGGGAGCUCCAGGGCCGCCGAGCAGACUUUGCGGGGGUGGCAGUCCAAGGAGGAGGUCUCGUGGUAGGCGGCGGCGUGGCCAUCAUGGAAGCAGCAGAAGAGGAGGCUCGGGGAGGAGGAUGAUCCGAGCUUGUGAUGGAACAACAUUUGGACGGCGAGAGCGACGGGACUCGGAAUCUUGGUCUGCUCAGGUCUGGUCCCUGGUCUGUUCAAGAGCGUGAAGAGAGUGAAGCGAGGAGAUGGGGAUGAUGAGGAAGACGAUGGAGAAGAGAAUGAGGCGAAGGGUUUAUUUAUAGGGUGGACGGAUAAGGACGGGGGCGUGUGGCGGCAGAGCAGAG
This 65952-nucleotide long non-coding RNA is filed under the name Eucalyptus grandis. RNAcentral's name for it is "long non-coding RNA (EGRA_LNC001504)". The record is from RNAcentral. Lineage: Eukaryota; Viridiplantae; Streptophyta; Magnoliopsida; Myrtales; Myrtaceae.